AAGGCUUCCAAACUCUGAUUCUGAAUGGCUUAAGAAGAUUGUCCGCAACAAAGUAGUAGCAAGUGUUGAUGCUCUUCUCAAUGAAAUAAAACCAUGCUCGCCGCCAGUCUGGGUUUAUGUACAAAACUGCAGCUAUUCCCAACAGCACCAUGAUGUACGUCACAACAAAGCUCACACAGAAAACUUGUGCAUCAAUGAAGACGCUACUCUCUUCUUUCUCAUCAGUAGAAGGCCCAGGUGGUGGUGGUACUUCUUUGGUGCAACUGUUAAGCAGUGGUGGUCCACAAAGUAAGGGAUUUCCCUCGUAGCUGCUCUUAUUGAAUGUUGAGAAUUGUGCAACCAUCUCAGGAGUCUUACCAGACAGGUUAUUAUUGGCUACACUAAAAUAGGCAAGAAAAUGCAAUUGUACAAGUUGAGGAGGGAUUUUCCCAUUCAAGCUGUUAUUGGAAAGGUCCAUGCUCUCAACAUCACUCAAAUUUGAAAGAGUUUGUGGGAUUGGGCCUCUUAAAUGAUUGUUGGACAGGUUCAAUACAUGAAUGUGGUUGAGAUUCCCAAUUUCAGGAGGAAUCACACCUGACAAACUGUUGCAGGAGAGAUCCAAUCCGGUCAUGUAAUUCAAAAUACUUGGCGGAUAAGAAUAAGACAGACUCUUUGUUGCAAUAACCAAUGGUUCUGGAAGAGCACUCGUAUAAGGAAUUUUUCCGCGGUGGAUGAACUGAAUAAUGCUUAUAAAUCUUAGGCAAGGUAGAAUAUGACCAGAAAAAUUAUUAUGAGAAAGAUCAAUGAACUUUAAUUUGUUCAACUUGCACAAUUGCGUGGGUAUACUGCCAUCAAGAUUAUUAUAACCCAAGAGAAGAAAGCUCAGUAGGGAAAACUCACCAAUCCAUUUUGGAAUGCUACCAGUCAAAUGAUUAUGGCUAAGAUCCAACGUUAUUAGCUCAAAGGAUUUCUGAAAUGCAUGUUCUAGGGAUCCUUGUAGCAUAUUUUGUGACAGAUAAACAUGCUGGAGGUUUGAAGAGUUAAAGAAAGAUGGUAAGGUUCCAGAGAUGUUGUUAUUUGAGAGGUCCAAAACAUGAAGAUGCAACAGAAAGCCAAAUGAAGAGGGAACGCAACCACUGAAGUUGUUAUCAGACAUGGAUAAAAAUGUUAAACUUGGAAAAUAUGAUCCUAUUUCUCUAGGAAUGUGGCUUUCGAAGUUAUUGUUAGAAAUAUCUAAUUCAGACAAAUUCUGAUGAGGAUGAAUUGGCAAUUGAAAAGUCCCUGAAAGAGAAUUGUUGACCAAUUGGAGAUAAUUGAGGUUUGUGUUGUUCUCUAACAACCAAAUAGGAAACCCUCCCCUCAAUUUCAGGUUAGAAAAAUCAAUUUCUUGGAGGCUAUAUUGAUGGAGGAGGAAUUUGGGAAAGGAAAAUGCUCCACCAUAUCCAUUGCCAGAUAAACGAAGACUCUCUAAUUGGAACUUUGGGGCCAAAUUAUGCUCCUCUAAUUCUUCAACAUAUAUUUCGUUAUUGUUACCAUCGAAAUACUUGAGUUGUGAAUGGUUGAGAAAUGAGCUCAAUGAGACGGGGAUCUGAAAGUGGUUGUCUGAAAGUGAUAACCAUAGGAUGGAUGUGAGACUUGUAAGAGGAGAGAAGGAAAUGUCUCCAAUAAAGGUAUUGUAAGACAAAUCUAAUACUUGAAGGGAUGUCAAAUUUGCCAAACACCAAGGCAAAGCACCAUUGAGAUCAUUCCACCUGAUAUAUAGAUUUUGGAGAUGCUUUAACUGACAUAGGCCUGAGAAUUUAUUGAUUCAUAAAAAUUUUAGUAAGAGAAGAAGCAGAACGCCUAAGGAGGGGAAAGGUGGUCAGACUUACCUUGGGCUUUAAGGAUGGAGCCAUUAAGUCGACAGUCAUCCAAUCUUAAACUCUUUAGAGUAGUAAUCUUCCCGACUGUUUGCAGAAAGCUAUUAUCGAUAGUGGAGGAACUCAAAUCUAGGGUCCUGAGGUUUGAGAAUUUCGUCAAUGAUUGCAGUAAUGUAAAUGGAAGAGCUCUUCCAUUUGAGUUGGUAUUAGAUAAUGAAAUGAGGCUUACAUUUCCAAAACCUCUAGUAUCUGCAGGGGAUAGCAGAAGUAAAACAAAUUUUAAAACCUUUUGAGCUUUUAUUCUUGAGCAAAAUCAUCCGCGAAAAUACAAUUCAAUUAAUGAGAUUUUAGGUUGAUCAAGCGGUAAAGCUACCAUCAAUCAGUGUGGAAAGCAAUCAAUACCUUUGGAUAACACAAAUUUGUCAAUCUCGUUUCCAUCUAGAUACACUUCCUCUAAGUUGAUCAAAGCAUCUAGCUCUAGGUUGUCGAAAAACAGAAAUUUAAUAUUACGUCACAACAAAAAUCACAGAUUGGUUUCUAGGAAUCGAAAAAGAUGAGGUUACCAGUCACAUUGAAUGAUCCUUUCAGUUGGUUGUACUCUAUAGACAGGGAUUUGAGAGAUGAAAGACCCUUGAUGAAUGAUAAGGUACUAUCAUUGAAGCGAUUACCAUCCAAAAGAAGAUCUUCCAGAUUUCUUAACCUUAGUAAGUUGUCACCAGUACCUAUAAAAAUACCAUAAGCUUUCAUGUAACCUGAAAGGAUAAUGGAGUAAUUAUGUGUGAAAACAAAUGCUCAGUCAACUCACAACUCUUUCAUACCAUGAAUGGAUUUAAAGCUUUCAAUUUCAUUGCUACCAAUAUCCAACCGCAGCAAGCUUGUUAGAUUAUUCAGUUCUGGCCAAAUAUAAUUGUACCAAGUACAACAAUUAAAAAAAGGGCAGUAAUUAACAUGGUUUUAUUUGAGAACGAAAAGGAGAGAAGUGAUCACGAUUAAUUACCAUCAACACUAAUUGCUCCUUUGAGUUGGUUACCAGAUAGAUACAGGGUUCUCAAAGAGGAAAGCCCACCAAGGGAUGAAAGGAUGCUGUUGUCGAAUUUGUUAAAGCCUAAAUAGAGAUCCUCCAAGCUGUCAAGUCCUGAUAGUCUUUCAAAACCUGCAUGGGCAUUUCAAUCAGUAGCUUGAAAAAUAUAGAAUCUAUUCUUCUUCUUUUUUCCUGUUGAAAUUGCAGUAGCACGCAAACAAGAGAUAAACCUUCAUUCUCAACACAGCCAACUAUAAAAUUUCCCCUUAAAUCAAGAUGUUGCAGUUCUUGGAAGGGACGAAACAAAGAGACAUUUAGGUACAAAUCUCCCAAUCCCUCUUCCCUUAUGUCUGAAAGAUAAAGUUCGACAACUCGUCCUGUAGUGAAAUUGCAGUCAACGCCUUUCCAAGAACAACAGUCGGCUACUUUUCCCCAAGAUUGAAGGAAUGUGCCGUUUGGGUAAUUAAAGGAGCUUUUAAUCCGCAAGAGAGCACUUCUCUCUUCGUCUAAACAGCCGUGACAUGACCACCAGCUGUGUGAUAAAACCAUAGCAUAAAUCAUCAGUGUCCCUGCUAAAGAAGAGAACCUGUUUAAACCCAUUUGGACUCCUCGAUGAAAUUAUGUAUCGAAAAACAACGGUCAGAGGCUCUUUAUAAAUAAGAUCGUUGGACUGCAAUUUGCAAUAUCACAAUCAAAUGUCAUAAUUUUCCACGGGCCAUAGACAAAGUCCUCUCUUUCGGCUUAUUUUCCAAAUUCAUAUUCUUCGUGGAAAGUGCUAGGCUGGUAUGAGGUUGGAAGGAUUUUAAAUAAAAAGGAUUCUGAAAUACUUUUUUUGUUUUCGCAUGCAAUGUCUUCCCUACGGCAAAAACAGUGCCAUCAGUGUCAGUCUUGUUAAUGGUAGUAGAAAAUUCAAAGAUUCUUGCAGUGAAGAUUUUUAAUCAUUUAGGUUUCACUAAUCGUUUCUUUAAUUUUAUAUAUAUAUUUUUUAUAAACGUUCAGUCUGAAAUAGGUAUUAAAAUAAUAUGAUGUUAAGCCAAAAUGAAUUUAAUAAUAAUAAUAAUAAUAAUAAUAAUAAUAAUAUAAUCAGCUAGUUAAUAUUGUAUUUUAAUAUAAAAUGCAUGUUUGAUAUUAUGAUGUAAAUGUUUUUUACUUAAAAAUAUAUUAAAAUAUUUUUUUUUAAUUUUUUAUAUUUUCAAUAUUAACUUAUCAAAUAAAAAAAAACAAUAAAAAUUAAAUUAAUAUGAUCUUGAGUCAAAUUGAAUUUAAUAAUAAUGGUAUAAUUAGUUAAUUAAUAUUGUAUUUUAAUAUAAAAUAAAUGUAUGAUAUUAUGGUGUACAUAUUUUUUACUUGAAAAUAUAUUAAAAUAUUUUUAAAAAUUUUUAAUAUGAACUUAUCAAAUAAUUUUUUUUUUCAUUUUAACAAGACUGCAACUUUGUCCUUGCAGCGAAGCUCUGCAUUUUUAUUUUUAUUUUGUUUUAUAUAACGUUUCUACCGAGCAAAGUUGCAACAAAACGAAUCAUUUCUUUUCAUUUAUGUUUUGUAGAUUAGCUCCUUUACUAGUCAUAUAGUCCCAUUAUAUUACUGUUAGAUUUGUUAUUGGACGGUUUGAAACAUUAGAUCUGUCAAACUUGCAACGAUUUAUAAUAAAGAUUUAAAAAAGCAUUAACCGCAGCUAUUAAAAACAUGUUUGUUUUUGCAUUUAAAACAGAGAGACCAAUUUGCCAACAAGCUAUUAUAAUACAACCCACAGGUUGAUUGAUGAAACCCUGACCCCAAGAUCUGGGGACCGCUGAAGAACACCUUGAAAAAUCUUGCAUUUUACUCCUACUUUUUACAAGAGACAGAUGAACUGGUCAUCGCGCGCGACGUGUUCCCUACGGCCGAGAAUAAUGCAGUGGCUGUCAGUCAUUCAUCGCUUGACCUGACGAAAAUUACACGCUAUGACGAAGAAGAAGAAGGUUGCUGCAUUCAUUCAUCGCUUGACCUGCCAAGACAAAAGAAAAGAAAGCUGUUAACAGUGGUCCAAAUUGCCAGCCACGAUGUGCCCGCAAGCUUUUUCCCCCCUAUGAAAAACACAUUUUACUAUCUUGGCGUUUAUAAACGGAUGAUUGCGUGUUCUUCGUCAUGUGUAUCAAGAACCCAGUAAAACCAUCUAAGAAGACUGCUGAAAAAAAGAUGGUUUAGAUUUCCUCAGCUGACUUCGAGUCAAGGCGUAGAGCUUCAAUUCCACGCAAUGGAUCAUGUGGUUUGGAUGGAACUGGUCGUCGUCAUCACAUGAUUUUCCAUAUGUAAUAAAGUCUUCUUCAUUUGGCUUAUUGUCCCAUUGAUUCUUCGAGGAAAUUCCCAAGUUUUUGCUUUACAUCAAUAUUAAUUAAAUGGCUGGUAACACACAUGACUCUCGUCUCUCUGUUACGUUCCUUUUACUUUUCACCAUGGUUUUUGAACCCUAUCCAAGGAGCUUAUAUGUCCUAACAACCACCAUUUUGAUGCCUAAUUGAUUUACAUGCUCUACAUUUAAAAGGUUAAAAAAACCAAAUCAUCUAAACCAUGCAAGUCUUGGCUUAGAGCCAGAGACUUUAUAAACAAAAUAUAAAACACAGAAAAACCAAAUCAAAGGAUGCCAAGAUGAUUUUCACUCCAUCUAUUGGACAUUGCGAGCAUCCUCUGAGAGUUAAGUUGCAUCGGUUUUUCUUCUGUUAUAUGCUCCAGAUAUUGAUGCUCGUAGACGGAGAAAACAUAUGCAUAAGAAGCAUAGCUCAUGUUCUUUGUUUAAAAUUUUUACUUGAAAACAUAUUAAAAUAUUGUUUAAAAUUUUUAACAUUAACUUAUCAAAUAAUAAAAAAAGCAAUAAAAUGUUUUCAAUUUAACAAGACUGCUUUUCUUUCAUUUAUUCUUUGUAGAUUAGUUCCUUUACUAGUCAUAUAGUCCCAUUAUAUUACUGUUAGAUUUGUUAUUGGACGGUUUGAAACAUUAGAUCUGGUCAUCGCGCGCGACGUGUUCCCUACGGGCGAGAAUAAUGCAGUCUUGUUAGUGGUUGACGAAGAAGAAGGUUGCUGCAUUCAUUCAUCGCUUGACCUGAUGAUGGCUCGAUGGGCCACCAGCUGCUAAGACAAAAGAAAAGAAAGCUGUUAACAGUGGUCCAAACUGCCAGCCACGAUGUGCCCGCAAGCUUUUUUCCUCCUAUGGAAAACACAUUUUACUAUCUUGGCGUUUAUAAACGGAUGGUUGCGUGUUCUUCGUCAUGUGUAUCAAGAACCCAGUAAAACCAUCCAAAAAGUCUACUGAAAAAAAGAUGGUUUAGAUUUCCUCAGCUGACCGUCAAGGCGUAGAGCUUCAAUUCCACGCAAUGGAUCCUGUGGUUUGGAUGGAAUUGGUCGUCGUCAUCACAUGAUUUUCCAUAUGUAAUAAAGUCUUCUUUAUUUGGCUUAUUGUCCCAUUGAUUCUUCGAGGAAAUUCCCAAGUUUUUGCUUUACAUCAAUAUUAAUUAAAUGGCUGGUAACACACAUGACUCUCGUCUCUCUGUUACGUUCCUUUUACUUUUCACCAUGGUUUUUGAACCCUAUCCAAGGAGCUUAUAUGUCCUAACAACCACCAUUUUGAUGCCUAAUUGAUUUACAUGCUCUACAUUUAAAAGGUUAAAAAAACCAAAUCAUCUAAACCAUGCAAGUCUUGGCUUAGAGCCAGUGACUUUAUAAACAAAAUAUAAAACACAGAAAAACCAAAUCAAAGGAUGCCAAGAUGAUUUUCAUUCUCAAAUUGUGUCAUGAUGGGGCUUAGUUCUAGGAAUAACACUGUCACUCCAUCUAUUGGACAUUGCGAGCAUCCUCUGAGAAUUAAGUUGCAUCGGUUUUUCUUCUGUUAUAUGCUCCAGAUAUUGAUGCUCGUAGACGGAGAAAACAUAUGCAUAAGAAGCAUAGCUCAUGUUCUGCCAAAAUGUCAUAUAAAAUUCUUUAGUAAUAUUCGACCGGUUGAUUACAUAUAAAAUUAUGUUAAACAAAAUCUUGAAAUUAGCAAGAGUAAUUAUAUUUCAUGACUCUCAGAGGCACCAAAUGGAUUUCCGCUUAUUCGUUGACAUGAUUCAUUCAACUUAUACGUCUCGGUCACUUUUCAAGCCAAAUAAAUCUCCUCUGUUUACCAAGAAACUCAAGACAAAGGUUGCUUAGCAUCCAUGUAUUAUAAUUCUACAGAAUGCUUUCACAUCUGUAAGAAAAUGCUGGCGUUCAUGUUAUAGAAGUCAUCCUGUAGCCUGGUGCCAAGACUGGAAGGCAUGUAAGCCAGGCUUGAUUCGAAUGAAUCGCUAUAAAUGUACUUGAUUUGAAGCUACUUGUACUUGGUGCUUUGCCAAACAUAGAAAGGCAUUGCCCUUUCCAUUGUUAAUUUAACCUGUAAUAUCCUUUAUGCUAUCAAUGAACCUGCCCUGAAAAAGUAGAACUUGAUGCUAGUGCAGGUAUUCGGUCAUUCCGUCUUUUUUUACUGUUUUCUUCUUUCAUUUUUCAAUUAAUCAUGUUUAAGCCUAAAGCGCCGCGUGUUAAGUAAUUUCAUUUUCUUGGUGAUAAAUUACAGUAAUUUUUUUAAAACUUGACUCGGAAUCUACCAGAAACAACGUCUAGAUCGUAGGUUACUCGGAAUCUACCAGAAACAACGUCUAGAUCGUAGGUUAGGAAAAUACAUCCAAGUUGACUUAAAUUGAAAAAAAUAAUCAAAGGAUCAUUGUUUUGACCAAAAACAAUUCAAAAAAAGUCAAUGGAUUUUUAAUUUGUAUUUUGUUAUGGGUCGGCCAGGUUGCAAGGCUAACCCAAGUUUUUGAUUGUGUUAGGUUGGAUCAAUUCUUUUUUUUCCUUUUUUUUUUUAACUCGAAUUGGUCAAAGCAUUGAGUUGAUCAGAUCCAUCUAUUAUCUUUGAAACACAUAAUAAAACAAAUUGUUGAGUCUUGUUCAAAGCAUGUUAAACACAAGACAAGAUAAUUAUUUCUUUAGUCAUGUCCUAUCCACUCUAGUCCAAUUAAUAAUGUCCAACAUACCAAAACCUACCUAAUAAAACCUGGCUUAUAAAAUAUGCUUGCAAAAUUUUAACUAGAUUCAAUGAUUGAAUUAAAAAUUAUAUAUAUUUUUUUAGCAAGCUCAUUUGACUCGUCCUAAUUUGUUUUUAAGUCCAAACCCUAUAAAAAAAAAAGGUUAAGAAAUCAUGAAGCUCAACUUUCAACAAAUACAUAAUUGAAAGAUAAAAUUAAAAAGAAAAAUUCAUGUAAAAAGAGAGCUAAGAAAACCGAUAUCAAGCUAGGUUAACCUUUCAAAUUUAUAAUCUGGGUCAUGAUACCAAAAUCACCUUAUCCAAAAAAUUAUGAAGCCCAACUUAUAACAAAUCUAAUGUUUAAGAAUGAAAUUGAAUUUUUUUAAAAAAACACAAAAUAAAAAAUUACAAUUAAAAAAAUGAGGAUCAAAUAUAACAUAAAAAUAAAAUGACAAGACACCUAGUAAUUUUGGUAAACCAACUCGAAUCCGAGGAGAGGAGAAAGAAAAAAGAAAGGAGAAGAAAGAAAAGGUUGCUAACGCCUCUCUCUUGACACACAUCACACCAUUGGCAAGAGCUCGCUAUGUUGCUUUAAAUAGAACUGUGGACGACAAUGUUCCAACAUCUGAAGAAGUUGCACUUGCCCAGAGCGUGGAGGCUUCCCCACACGUUGUCAUGUGCAUUUCACACGCCAACCAAAUUAUCUUGCUUGUCCUUUUCAGUUCCUAAGAGUAUUUUUCUGUUUCAAAUUUGAUCAUCUAAGCCUUAAUUAUUUUAGAUGAAUAAAUUAAAUUUUGUCUUGCAAAACUAAGAAUCAAACAUAUAUAAAAUUUUUUCCUCAACACCAUGGAAUCCUAGCAUCUAGGCAAUAACAAAAAAUUAAGUCCAAUCACAAGUAACCUCAAUUUAAAAGGAUCAAUUUUUUUUUUUAAAAAAUGAGGGACAAAAACAAAGGGGUUGAAUUUCUCAUUUGCUCAUGCAAUAUUUUAGUCCUUGAUGUUUGCAAGAAAAAAGAGCUUAAUACUUGUCUAAUGCUCAAAUAUGGUUUAUUAGCUUUAAUUUUUUAAUUCAAUUUAUUUUCAUUUAAUCUUUCCAAAUCAAAGCAUUGAUCGAGAGUCGAUUUUGUUUCUCAACACCACAAGUAGCCAAUACCAAGCCAAACAAAACGAAACAAAUAAUAAAACUCAAUUUCAAAUUAAUCUAAUAUAAAAAAAUCAAAUAAAAAAAUUCAAGUGAUGAAAAAAAAAACUAAAAAGAAAAAGAAAACAUUAAGUGAAUCCAUAAUGUUUUCUCUCAUAAUGCACAUGAAAAGUCUGAUCUUUUUUAUUUUUAUUUUCUAUAUGCAUAAACAUUUGAUGAUAAGGAAAAAUUGGUGUUUUGAAUUGAUGACCAAUAGAUUCACUCUAGGAUUUUAAUUUUUGAGUUGGAACUUAUGACUUUUUUUUUUUUUAAGUUAAUAUAAAUUAAUUUUAUGAACUCGUGACUCAAUAAUCACAACAAGUUUUCAAUUUAAUAACCAUGCCAUUUAAUUCUAGUGAUUUAUUUUAUCACCAAGUAAUUAUUACUUCAUAAAAUUAAUAUUAUUGAUGAAUAUACAUAGAUUUGGAAUUGUAAUUAAUGGAAGUUUACUUUUGCUAAAACAAAAGAAUAAAAAUAAAAGCUUGCUUAGAUAUUUGAAGGAUUUCUCGAUUUCAAGUGGCACUAAAUUAAAGUUUAUUUAAUAAAGAAUUAAAUUGAUUUUUGAAAGUACAUGAUUGUAAAAGAUAUGCAAAUGCAUGUCUACCAUGUUCAAUAGUUUUCAGCAUAAUUGCCAUAUUUCUCCAUAAUAGAAAAAAACUUGCGAAUGAAUUGCAAAAAAGAAAGCAUGAAAAUGUUGAUUGCCCGCAUGACUGUUUAUCCUCAAUUUAUAUGUUCAUGAUAGCUACUCCAUGGACGCCUUGUUCUUUAAUAUCACAGGAUAAUGAUUGAUUCUUCAACAUUCAUUCUCAUGAAUUCAAGAAAUUAUCUCAUCUAAUCUAAGCUUGACGGUAAAAUAAAUAUUAUUGUCUUAUAUCUCAUUUAAUUUCUUAAAAUUGAACCAUAAAAAUUAAAAGAAAUUAUCUAGUCAUAAAAAACGAAAUAAAUAUUAAUAUGAAGUUUGAGAGUGUGGUUGUGAUUGUUUUUUAAAGUGUUUUUCACUCUGAAAUGUAUUAAAAUAAUAUUUUUUAAAAAAAUUAUUUUUGACAUCAACAUCAAAAUAAUUUGAAACACAAAAACAAACAAGGUUUCAACAUAUUGCAAUCAAGAUAGUAUUUGUUUAGUAUUGUGACGCAUGGAUUUUUUUUAAUAUUUUGUAUUUAAAAAUAUAUUAAAAUAAUUUUUUCUAUAUUUUUUAAAUUUUUUAUAUCAAAACAUCACAAUCAUAAAAAAUACUAAAAAUAAAGUGAUUUGAUAUUUUUAUAGUAAAAUAUACUUUUAAAAUACAUUAAAAAAAUAAAGUUACUUCCUUUUCAAAUGAUGACGUGAUUAAAAAAUUAUAAAAAUUUACUCUUAAAAAUCAAAUUAUACCAGUAUACCAAACAUAUAAUAAAAGGUAUCUGACCCAAUCAACAAGAAAGAAAAAAGAUACUUCGGUUGUCUUAUUAAAUUAACGGAAUCCAAACAACCUUUAUUUCAUCCAAUCGUACAUUGGCACCUGAUCUUAAUCCAACGGCCUAAAGUUAUCGUGACUAUAUAUUUACAGAAACGUCACCCACAACUGUCGUGGCAUGGCCUCCGAUUCGAGACGGAAGUUAUAAUGCCCAGGGCAGGUUAGGUGAUGAUGUCGGGAAAUAGGCCCUGUCCAGUUGAAACCUUAAACUGACAAAGGGGCCCACAAGAAUUGCUUAAAUGUCCAAAUUCCAAAAAGGUCCCAAAUCAUACGGGGAUUGUUGCCAUCAACAAGGUUGGUUUCGUACUUUGGAAACUAGAAAUUAACACGCUUAGAUUUUAGGGAAACCCUCAAAUCAGACCCAUAAUAUAUUAUUCUAUCACUAAUGGAGUCCUAAUAAAAAUACUUUAUCAAUUAAGUCCUCCGUGCUUAAGAAGUUUCUCAUUAGGUGCUUCUUUCCACUGGCCAUAGACAAAGUCCUCUCUUCGUGGAAAGUGCUAGGCUGUUAGCGUUUCCUCCGUAGUUCUGAAAUACGGCCCCACCGCGCGACUUACAAUAGAGAAAUAGAGAAAUAGACAAGUGAAAUGGUCUUUCCAUGCAAUGUCUUCCCUACGGCAAAGACAGCGCGCCAUCAAUAUCAGUCUUGUUAGUGGUCGUUGAAAAUGACAUCUCAACCACACAUAAACAAGUUGCUAUUUUAACUUUAAUUUGAUAAUAAAUAAUAAAUAUGAUGGGUACAAAGGGGAGAAUAUACAUGAUAAACUUUUUUUGUUUUCUACAAUAAUAGAGAAAUAGACAAAUGAAAUGGUGUCUUCCCUACGGCAAAAACAGUGCAUGUUAAUAUUGUAUUUUUAUAUAAAAUGCAUGUUUGAUAUUAUGAUGUAAUUGUUUUAUACUUAAAAAUAUAUUAAAAUAUAUUUUUUAAAAUUUUUUAUAUUUUCAAUAUUAACUUAUCAAAUAAUAAAAAACAAUAAAAAUUAAAAUAAUAUAAUCUUGAGUCAAAUUGAAUUUAAUAAUAAUGGUAUAAUUAGUUAAUUAAUAUUGUAUUUUAAUAUAAAAUAAAUGUAUGAUAUUAUGGUGUAAAUUUUUUUACUUGAAAACAUAUUAAAAUAUUGUUUAAAAUUUUUAACAUUAACUUAUCAAAUAAUAAAAAAAGCAGUAAAAUGUUUUCAAUUUAACAAGACUGCAACUUUGUCCUUGCAGCCCAGCUCUACCGUUUUUUUUUCAAAGUGGGGGCUUCUGCUUUUUUUUUUCUAACAUUUCUACCGAGCAAAGUUGCAACAGAACGAAUCAUUUCUUUUCAUUUAUGCUUUAUAGAUUAGUUCCUUUACUAGUCAUAUAGUCCCAUUAUAUUACUGUUAGAUUUGUUAUUGGACGGUUUGAAACAUUAGAUCUGUCAAACUUGCAACGAUUUAUAAUAAAGAUUUAAAAAAGCAUUAACCGCAGCUAUUAAAAACAUGUUUGUUAUUGCAUUUAAAACAGAGAGACCAAUUUGCCAACAAGCUAUUAUAAUACAACCCACAGGUUGAUUGAUGAAACCCCGACCCCAAGAUCUGGGGACCGCUGAAGAACACAUUGAAAAAUCUUGCAUUUUACCUUAGUUUUUACAAGAGACAGAUGAACUGUCAUCGCGCGCGACGUGUUCCCUACGGCGAAAAUAAUGCAGUGGCUGUCAGCUUGUUAGUGGUUGUGGAAAAUUACACGCUAUGAACAAAGAAGAAGGUUGCUGCAUUCAUUCUUCUUUAUUUGGCUUAUUGUCCCGUUAAUUCUUCGAGGAAAUUCCCAAGUUUUUGUUUUACAUCAUAUUAAUUCAAUGGCUGGUAACACACACGACUCUCGUCUCUCUGUUACGUUCCUUUUACUUUUCACCAUGGUUUUUGAACCCUAUCCAAGGUUGAUCUGGAGCAAAUCUUGGAUUGUGGGUCAGGUGAAACUUGAGAAGGUUAUUUAUCAAGAACUCUCAAAUCCUACCAAUGUCAAUUCUAACUUAAGCAACAUCGUCUUUUUAUUUGUUAAUAAUAUAUUAAAUAAAAAUCAAGAUUCAAAUUAAUUUAAAUAAUAUAGUUAAAUGAAAACAAGAUUUCAAUUAAUUUCACUCUUUCUUUUAUUUUUUUUUCAAAACCUUCACCAUUCUAAUCCUUCUCAGCUAUCAUGUCUCCCUUCUUUGAUAUUGUUAUCAAAUAGCAAAAGUGCAAAUAAUCAUGCUCUUGGAGACAGAUUUGUCAGAGAGUCGCCGUGCGGAAUAACCUUCACCAUUCUAAUCCUUCUCAGCUAUCAUGGCUCACCUUCUUGGUUCUGGCUGGUGCCUGCGGUUUGGGCUCCAUCUUGAACAUUAUUAUAAAUAGCUAAAAGAUAUCAGUGUUUUAGAAAAAGCAUUGAUUCAUGUUGUUUUAUGUUUUUUUUUUUAAGUUGUUUUUUUAUGUUUUUAAAAAAUUAUUUUUUGCUUUUUUCUUUGUUUUUUUUCUUUUAACAAUUUUUUUUUAAUUUAGUUUAUUAAUGUUUUAUUAAUGUUAAAUUUUUUUAUUUAGUUAUCAGACUUUCACGACACGUUUUCCGGAUUUAAUGAGUUAACCUGGUUUGACAAGUUAACCUAUAAUUUUUUUUAUUUGCUUUUUAUUAUUUUUAAUUAAUUUUUUUAGUUUAGUUUAGUUGUUAAUGUUAAAUUUCUUUCUAUUUAGUUAUUAGACUUUCAUGACAUAUAUCCCGAGUUUCACGGGUUAACCUGGUUUCACGGGCGAACCCAGUUAAUUUUGGGUUGACCCGUCAAUUUAUUUAUUUUUUAUUUUCAUAAAUUUUUUUGUUUAAUUUAGUUUGUUAAUGUUAAAAUUUUUUUUAUUUAGUUAUCAGACUUUCAUGACAUAGAUCCUAGGUUUAACGGGUUAACAUGGUUUGACAAGUUAACCUGGAUUUGUUUUUUGAUUUUUUCUUUUUAAUUAAUUUUUUUCGUUUAGUUCAGUUUGUUAAUGUUCACUUUUUUUUUUAAUUACCAGACAUUCAUGACAUCGAUCCGGGGUUUAACGGGUUAACUUGGUUUGACGAGUUAACCUGAUUUUUUUUUUUUGCUUUUUUUUUUUCUUUUAAAUUAAUUUUUUUCGUUUAAUUUAAAUUGUUGAUGUUAAAUUUUUUUCUAUUUAGUUAUCAAACUUUCAUGACACGGAUUCUAGGUUUGACAGGUUAACCUGGUUUAACGAGUUAGCCCAGUUAAUUCUGGGUUAACCCAUUAAUUUGUUUUUUCAUUUUUAAUUAUCAAACUUUCACGAUGCGAAUUCAAGGUAUGACGGGUUAGCCUGGUUUGAAGGGUUAACCCAAUUAAUUCAUUUUUUUUUCUUUUUCUUCAUUAGUUUUUUUCUUCAUGUUGGUUUUUUUUCAUUGUUUUUUUCUUUUUAACUAAUCUAUUUAAUUAUCACACUUUUAUAACACGACCUUGCAGUUAAACCCACGUCCAAUGCUAUUGGGUCUGGUAUUGCAGUCCAGACACUUUUAUGCUAAGGGUUAACCCAAGUUUAAUGUUAUUGUUAAUAUUAUAAAUAUUACUUUUGGAUCAGGCGUUGCAACUAAACCUGAGACUUUUGGGUAUAACUUUGCAAAAAAAACCUAACAUUUUUAGAUCUUGACUAUUUUUGAAAUGCAAAAAAUAAUUGACUCGUGGCAUCGCGCGGGGCAUAUAACUAGUUCUAACUACGAGGAUAAGGCCUGUCUAUGAGAUGCUUUAUGCUGGGGGUUCUUUCAGGCUUCCUCAAACUUCAAAUCACUAAGAUGCUCGAAGUGGAAUAUGAUAAGUUGAGGCCAUGGGAAGCCAUUCUCCUGAAGCACAUGACAUGGUAGAUAUUCCGGCUAUGUAAAUUCACUUUUUUAGAAUUUGCACAAUGCGUUGCAAGUUUGAGUGCCAACCCAGGAAAUCAACAGUCAUCUAAUUUAGUGUAAUGGUUCAGCUCAAAUCUUUGAGUGGUUUUUUUGAAUUGGAUAACUGCUGUUUUCGAUCUAUAAUUUAGUUUAGAUUGCAUGCAUUUUUAUAUAAUUAAGUUCAUCAUGAUCAAAAUAAAAUCAUGGCAUACAUAUUAAAUAGACAUUAAAACUUGCAAUGUAUAGCAAAACAAUUUUUUUUUUUCCGGAUAAAAGUUACUGUAUUAAAGGGAAGAAACUAUAUAAAGCACGAGGAGCAUACGUCAAGAAGUAUAAAUGCUUGUUACCUAGUCUAUUUGACAAAAAAUAACAAGAAAACGAAGCAAAAGGUAUAAAAAAACUAAAAAAGAACAAAAGCAGAUUGUGAAAAUAAAUAGUAGAUGAGUCAAUUGACAGGUUGAUUACAUAUAAAACUAUGAUAAACAAAAUUUCAAAAUUAGCAAGAGUAAUUAUAUUUCAUGACUCUCAGAGGCACCAAAUGGAACUGAAAAUAGCUGGGAUAUGAAACCUGGUUCGAGCUCUAUGAAACGGGACUGAACCAAAUAAAAAAUGUCUUUGCAAAUAUCCUGAUGAGAUCAAUAAAUCUUAUGAAAAACUUGAUUAUUUCUCUCACACUAGAUGAAGUAAAUUGAGGUAGAAAAGGCUAGCCAAGUAAAUUGAGUUUCUGUGUUACUGUUCAAUAACUGAUAAAAGUUUUCCCCAGCGGGCAUCAAACUAGCUGGAAACAAAAAGAAAAACACACGCCGUGUCAUGCCAGAGGGGAAGAAGCACCAAAUGGGACGUUAUUAAUUCGAGACUGUAAAACAUAUAUCCAUAGAAUCAAUACGGAGACAGUGGGAUUGUUAAUCCAACAACGUAAAAUAUUAGCUUUCCAUGAUGGUUUAGCAUUUUACCAAAAAAAUAUAUCACACUUUCUACUUGUUUAUAAGCUCUACUCGUUUUGAAAUCCACCCUCUUAAAGAAACUGAAUUCUUAGUUUUUCCACUAAAAAAAUCCUUGAUUUUUCUAGAAUAUUUAAUUCUUGAUUUAUAGUGUUAACUAAGAACAAGAUCCUCUCCGAACAAUUUUAAUUAACAAUAAUUAGUUGUUUGAUUAACAGUACUUUCGGACCAUUGUUGUUUAAUUAUCAAAUUAUGUGAUAAUUAAUGAAGUCGGUGCUAGAAUUAACGAAUUAUUAAAAAAGAAAAAAAAUUGAGACAGAUUAGUUUAUUGCAUAAUUUUAACGCCGAACCAACGGAUGAGAAAAUAUUAGCAUUGGUUGAGUAAAAAGAAUAAGGACCAUUUGUAAACAUGCCAAAUAAAUGGAGGGCAUAUUUCUAUUUUUCCUCUCGUCAUUUCUUCAUAUCUUUCACUUCAGAGUUGGGAUUACUUCCUCUGUACUCAAAUAUUUUUCCAGAUCGAGGCAAGUCCUUCAGACAUCUUGAUCUUUAAAAUAUGCAGCCACUACCUACUUGGGCUAUCUUUAAUGAUCAUGUUGUAAUCCAUUUUUGGGUCUCCACAAAAAAAUAAAGUAAAUAGCCAAAGAAGUUCAGAAAAUGGUCGGAAGAUUGGUCAAGGAAGUUAAAAAAUACAAAAAUUGGAUUUUUGACAGUAUUUUCUUGAAGGAUGAGAGCCCUGUUGAGAAGGAAAAUUUGAAUUUUGAGGAGAAAAGCCCAAAUUUGGAUGUUUAUGGACUUAAUUGGAUUUUAUUUGAAUUUAUAGAGGAUUUGAGUGCAAGAAAAAUUGAUUUUUAAGUCAAUUUGGGCUUUAAUUAGAAGAAAUUUAAGUUCUGGGGCCAAAAUAUUUUUUUUUGGAAUUUAUUAGGUCAAAUCAGGGGCUUAAUUGCAUAAAUAUUGAAGUUUAAUAGCCAAUUAGGGGCUCAAUUGUGAAAAUCCGAAACCAGGGACCAAUUUGGAGAACGCGGGUAAAUAGAGGGGGCUGUUUUGAAUUGAUCCAGGGGCGUAAUUGAAGAAAUUGGAAGUUUAUUGAUCAAUUGAGGGCUUAAUUGCAUAAAUCAGAGGCCAAGGAUCAAGGUGAAAAACGCGGCCAACUACGGGGGCGAGGACCGAAAUUGGCAGGGACGCAAUUGAAAGAAACAAAAGAUAAUUAAGGGUUGAUUUGAAAUUUGGCGCUUUCUGGCGCCAUUUUUAAAUGAAACGGCGCGUUUUCCCCAAAACAACGUCGUUUCAUACACAAAAAAAAAAGGACCGAACGGUGCCGUUUUGAACGGCACUGUUCCCCUUUCUUCUUCCCCCUGAACGUGCAGCAAGCAUGGGAAGAAAACUUGUUUAAUCAUCCGGUGCCGCUCUCUCCUCGCGUGCGCUGACAAUACCACGUUGCCCUGCUCAACCCAUGCUGUCCUGCUCCUCACGCUGCCCUGCUCAACCCAUGCAGCCCCGCUCCCUUUGCCCCCCUAUAAAAGAAGGGGGGAGACCUGAAGCAAAGCAGGAAGAAAGAAAACGAAAAAAAACCGAGACCAAUAGAGAGAGAUAAGAAAAAAAACCGGGGGAAGAAAAACGAACCAGAGAAAAAGGAGACUGAAACCGAAGGGAAGUUGAACGAGAGAAGAGAGAACGGAGAGAAAGGAAGGAAAGAAUACCGGGGGGGAGUUUUUGAACAAAGAGAGAAAACGAAAUAGAGAGAGGAGGGAAGAAGUCAGGGAAGUUUGAAACAGAAGGGGGAGCACAGACACACCAGUAUUGCCAAGGAUCGUCAUUUUUUAGCUCAUCAUUCUUCACACACGUUGUAACACCAUAGAAGAAAAGGAAGAGGCCUGCACCUCGGUACAAACAGAGAAAACAGCGGCAAAACACCGCCCGCCACCGCAGAGAAGACCCACCGUCGCACUGCCAUCAUCAUCACCGCCAGCUGCCACUGUCUUCCCAUCCGACAACAACACCGUGAGGAACAGAAUGAGGAAGCAGAAGCAGAGGAGAACAUAGCUGAAGAAAAAAAAACACAGAGAAGAAAGAAAAGCCGACCACCGUCCAAGCCACUCAUUAGGCCGCCGCCACCAGCACCUCCACGAAGCAGCUGCAGAGAGGGAAGAACAUUGUUGACAGAGGGAGCAAAGGAAAUAAAGAGAAGAACAACGCCAAAACAGUAAGGAAGAGGAAGAGGAGCCGCAGCAACGCCACCGCCAAACCAGCCACUGCCACUGUCAGAACCAUCGUGAGCCCUCAUUGGCUUCCUCUCCACCGCCACCAGCAUCACUGUGAGUGUUCGGCGUCGUCUUCGCUCCUUUCGGUUCCACGUCCAGGUAAGCGUUUUGCGUCUCUGUGCAGGUGAUUUCCUUUGGCAUUUUCACUGUGCAAGUGAAUUAUAAUUCACUUGAACAGUGAAAUGCAAAUGUUACUGUUCAAGUGAAUUAUAAUUCAAUUGAACAGUACCAUAUGUUACUAUGUGUGUCUUCUUUUGCAUGUUACUGUGCGCGGUUUCGUUUUGCAUUUUUACUGUUCAUAGUGAAUUAUAAUUCACUUGAACAGUACCAUUUGUGUAUGGUAUUAAGGAUGCACGCGUGAGCUUCCACCCAGGACACUGGCUCGGGCUAGUGACCUGGUUAGGCCUGCUGGGUCAAGCCCAGCCAUAUGGGCCGAACGGGGCCCAACCUAAAUUUUUUUUAUUUAUUUAAAAAUAAAAAUUCUGCAAAAAAAAUUAUUUUGAAAAAUAAGUGAUUUUCUGCAAUUCUGUUACUGCAUUUUGAUCAAUAUCGGUUUGUAUUUUUAUACUGUAAAGAUACAGAUCCGGUAUUAAAAUACUCGAUUUUCGUCAAGUCAUCAAAAAAAUAAAAAGUAAAAAAAAUGUUUUGUUUUCAUGCAUACGGCCUAGUCUCUCCAAUAUAUAUAUAUAAAUAUUAUAACAUCGUAUUUUCACACAACAAAGGAAAUUUCAAAACAAUAUAUGUAUUAGCAUGCAUUUUGGCUUUAAUAACCAGUUUAUUCAAGCCAUGAGAACUAGGCCAAUAUUUCAAAAAUUCCAAAAAAAUUAUUGUGUUUUCUUUUAGUAUAUGGGGUUACGAUCUUAUACGUAAGACGUAUUCCGAAUAUUAAAUUCUUUUGCCAUUAAGAUGAGGAUCUCCUUACCGAGGAGGACUUUUUUGAACCAUACCAACAACUAGGAAAGCACGAAAAGACCUUAGAUUUUAUCAGACAAUAAAACAAUGCAGCUUACCUUAGGUAAGGCGUAUUUGGGGUGCUAAUACCUUCCCUUUACGCAACCAGUCCCCGUACCCGAUCUUUGAGACCAGUUAGGGUUCCUAGUGACCAAAAUACUAGGUGGCGACUCCCAUUCCAUUUUCCACCCACAAAAGACAAUUUUUUCUUGUAUCCCCAUAGAUAUAGAUAGAAUUACAUUGUAGAUAAGAAAAUGGAACAACUAUAUAAUUUUCACCGUGACGCCGCACACGUGCGACAGAAUGGCGACUCCGCUGGGGACCUUGUAGAUUAAGCUUUGUUUUUGUCUGAUUUGUUUGUGUUUUCGUGUGUUUAUUGUUCAUAUGCCUUUCCUUUUAUUUGAGUAAUUUUUUUUUAUUUUUUUUUACGCGUAUUAUUCAUGCAUUGUGUAAAAUUGUCUCAUGCAUCACUUGCUUUUAUUUUGAGAAGCACACACAAGCCUUAAGUUAAGUGGGGAAUUAGCGAAUUACCCUAAGACUAUUGGUCAGGGUUUAAAUGCGUGAAACACCCAACUCAUAUCUGAGUGCCUGCUUGGUAAUGGUGGGCAUACGUGUCUUAACUAUUCCUUGCAACGCCCCCAUACCGUCUUUACGAAGAACGUCACUGGGCAGAUAUGAAACCCUUCAAGACUAGAUAGAAAACCUACCCACUCUCACUUAAUAAAUAGAGCUUAUCCUUAGGUUAUGUAUCUUAUUUGCAUCAAGAUUAAUAAUGUUAAACUCAUCGCACAUCACUUGUGCAUCACAUCUUCAUCACGCAUUUUUGUUUUUACAUUAUCAUAUGCAUUCCAGAUCGUGAAACAUAGGUCCCACGUCCAGAGUCCACCACACCCGGUUCAGAUGAAGGAUGAAGAAUACUGUAGAGUCAUCAAAACCUCAAGGAUGUGUUGCAAGCACCUUAGAAGAUGGAGAGGUUUUAUAUAGUGAAUCAACAACAAUCUCUACAGAUAGAGAAGAGCUCACUGAGGUCUGGCUAAUGGAUUCAGGAGUAACAUGGCAUAUGACUCCUAAUCGGGAUUGGUUCCAUACAUAUGAACCCAUCUCUGGAGGCACAGUGUUCAUGGGUGAUAAUCAUGUAUUAGAGAUUGAUGGCAUUGGCACCAUCAAAUUGAAGAUGUAUGAUGGCUUAAUUCGUACUAUUUCAGGAGUGCGACAUGUGAAAGACUUAAAGAAGAAUCUUUUAUCCGUAGGACAAUUUGAUAGUCUUGGCUGUAAGAUUCGAACAGACAAUGGAAUCAUGAAAAUUGUCAAAGGCACGCUAGUGGUUUUAAAGGCAAGAAAGACAAUUGCAAACAUGUUUGUAGUAAUGAGAGAAAUACAUCAUGGGGCAGAAGUGUCAAUCGCAUCAGCCAGUCCUGCAGAAGAGAAGACGAUGAUGUGGCAUCAAAAACUAGGCCACAUGUCAGAGAAAGGUUUAAAGGUUCUCUCUGAUCAGAAGUUACUCCCUGGGCUUACAAAGGUUACUUUACCUUUUUGUGAGCACUGUGUUACAAGUAAACAACACAGGUUGAAGUUUGGCACGUCAACAACUAAGAGCAAAUGCAUCUUAGACCUGAUUCACUCUGAUGUUUGGCAAGCACCGGUUGUAUCCUUGGGAGGAGCAAGAUACUUUGUAUCAUUCAUAGAUGACUUCUCCAGGAGAUGUUGGGUGUAUCCGAUUAGAAGGAAGGCAGAUGUGUUCAGUUUUUAAAACCUUCAAAGCGCGGGUAGAACUUGAAUCUGAAAAGAAGAUCAAGUGUUUGAGGACUGACAAUGGAGGAGAAUAUACCAGUGAUGAAUUUGAUAACUUCUGUCAACAUGAAGGUAUCAAAAGGCAGUUCACAACGGCAUACACUCCACAACAAAAUGGAGUGGCAGAGCGGAUGAACAGAACUCUAUUGGAAAGAACAAGAGCAAUGUUGAAGGCUGCAGGUCUAGAAAAGUCAUUCUGGGCAGAAGCAGUCAAUACCGCCUGUUAUGUGAUAAAUCGAUCUCCGUCAACUGCAAUUGAGUUGAAGACACCGAUGGAGAUGUGGACUGGAAAGCCAGCUGAUUAUUCUCGAUUGCAUAUAUUUGGAAGUCCUGUGUACGUGAUGUACAAUACUCAAGAGUCAGCAAGCUGGAUUCAAAAUCCAGAAAAUGUAUUCUUGGGAUAUGCUGAUGGAGUGAAGGGGUAUCGCUUGUGGGAUCCCACUGCCCACAAGGUAGUCAUCAGCAGAGAUGUCAUAUUUGCAGAAGAUAAAAUGCAAAUGGAAGAAAAUAAUAGCAUUUUAAAGGAGACUACAGAAGUCCAGAUGGAAAAUACUCAGAAUCAUACUUCUUCUGAAGCUGCACCAAAGCAUGAAGAACAAGAACAAAUAGAGUCUGAAACUCUUGAAGUUCGAUGGUCAACUUGUGAAAGAAGACCACCGGCUUGGCACUCAGAAUAUGUUACUGAGAGCAAUAUUGCAUACUGUCUUCUAACAGAGGAUGGAGAGCCAUCAACUUUCCAUGAGGCUAUCAAAAGCACAGAUGUAUCUAUAUGGAUGACAACAAUGCAAGAGGAGAUUGAAGCUCUGCACAAGAAUAACACUUGGGAUCUUGUUCCGCCAUUGGCAACAAAUGGGUUUACAAGAUAAAGCGUGAUGGAAAUGAUCAAGUGGAGCGGUAUCGUGCAAGAUUGGUGGUGAAAGGAUAUGCUCAGAAAGAAGGAAUAGACUUCAAUGAGAUAUUUUCUCUGGUGGUAUGACUUACUACAAUCAGAGUAGUUUUGGCGAUGUGUGCUAUAUUUGAUCUUCACUUAGAGUAGUUAGAUGUGAAAACUGCAUUUCUUCAUGGAGAACUUGAAGAAGAAAUUUAUAUGCUCCAACCAGAGGGUUUUGCUGAAACAGGCAAGGAGAACUUGGUUUGCAGGUUGAACAAAUCUCUAUACGGUCUCAAACAGGCGCCGAGGUGUUGGUACAAGAGAUUUGAUUCCUUCAUAAUUAGCCUUGGGUACAACAGACUCAGUUCAGACCAUUGUACGUAUUACAAGAGGUUUGAAGAAAAUGAUGUUUUCAUCAUUCUGUUGUUGUACGUGGAUGACAUGUUGGUAAUAGGCCCCAACAAAGAUCGAGUCCAAGAAUUGAAGGCACAGUUGGCUAGGGAGUUUGAUAUGAAGGACUUGGGACCAGCAAACAAGAUUCUAGGGAUGCAAAUUCACCGAGACAGAAGUAAGAGGAAGAUUUGGCUUUCUCAGAAGAAUUAUUUGAAGAAGAUCUUGCGACGCUUCAACAUGCAAGAUUGUAAGCCAAUUUCCACCCCACUUCCUGUUAACUUCAAAUUAUCCUCAAGUAUGUCUCCUAGCAAUGAAGCAGAGAGGAUGGAGAUGUCUCGAGUACCGUAUGCAUCAGCAGUGGGAAGUUUAAUGUUUGCCAUGAUAUGUACAAGACCAGACAUUGCACAAGCAGUGGGAGCAGCUAGUCGAUACAUGGCAAAUCCUGGUAGAGAGCAUUGGAAUACUAUCAAGAGGAUCUUGAGAUACAUCAAGGGUACCUCAGAUGCCGCAUUAUGUUAUGGAGGAUCAGAAUUCACUGUCAGAGGUUAUGUUGACUCAGAUUUUGCUGGUGACCUUGAGAAAAGAAAAUCCACUACAGGCUAUGUGUUCAUAAUUGCAGGAGGAGCUAUGAGCUGGGUCUCUAAACUUCAGACUGUUGUAGCGUUAUCCACAACAGAAGCUGAGUAUAUGGUAGCUACACAAGCUUGUAAAGAAGCAAUAUGGAUGAAGAAACUUAUGGAGGAGCUCGGGCACAAACAAGAUAAGAUUCUUUUGUAUUGUGAUAGUCAGAGUGCCUUGCAUAUUGCAAGGAAUCCGACGUUUCAUUCAAGAACAAAACAUAUAGAUGUUCAGUAUCACUUUGUUCGUGAAGUGGUGGAAGAUGGAAGUGUGGAUUUUCAGAAGGUGUGAACACAAAGGAAAACCCAACAAUGCAUCCAAGCAUUAUAUGCACACAAAAGAAGAGAAAACAAGAGUAGAGUGAAGAAAGAUUAAUUCCACUAAGUUGUGAGGUAUUUGUGAGAGAGUAAGUGAGGUGUUUUCUCCUAGUAAUAGAGAGAUUCUUAGUUGUUCUUCUAUUAUCUGAGAGAGGUUGUAAUUCCCACAUUACUUAGUAAAAUCCUUCUAUACUUGCCCGUGGACGUAGCCCAAUUGGGUGAACCAUGUAAAUUCUUGUGUGUCUCAUUUCUCAUUUUAUCCUAUCCUUUACCUUGUCUUGUCGGGUUUGCAUGCCAGUAUCCUAACAGAAACAUGGUGCUGCUAUAUAUAGUUCUUAAUACUGCUGUCAUUUUUUAUGCUGCACAUACUUUCUGCAUUCACUUUCCUGCUUUGGAUUAUACUGCUAUGAUUUUCUAUGACCGUUCUGGUUUUUCGUUCCUGCAAAAGUGUUCUUCAAUUGGUUGGAAGUCUUGCUUCUGCAGAUGCCUUGUUGUAUGCUGGUAUUGGUGUCAAUUGUUAAUGCAUUAAUUUUUGGUUUUGAUUACCUUCUGGUGGUGAUCAUUUCAAGUCAACAUUGAUAUACUUGAGUAUCAUGGAAGCUUUGGCUUCUGAUUUUGUUUUUUUUUUAUCUGUUAGAGUUCAUAAUAACUAUAAUAAUAAGUGACGAUUUUUUUAAACAAGACUUUUCUCAUAGAAAACAAGAUCUAAAAAUUUAUUUUUUUAUUUUAAAAUUAUUUUUAAGACUGCUGUAAUGUUGGGUGCGAUAUAUUAUAAAUCAAUAAUAAAAAAAAUCUUAUUACUAUAAAAAGCUUUUAAUCAACAUGAAAAUCCUAUUUUUUUAAUUUUUAAGUUUUAUUAAGUAGAAUAAAACUACAAAAAAAAAUGAUUGAUUGUAAUAUUUUUAUUUUUAAAGACUAUAUUAAGAUUCUCAAUAAAUAUUUCAAUAUAAUUCUAUUAAUACUUAAAAAAUAAUAUCAUUACUUCUUUAAAUAUUUUGAAAGAAUAAAAAGAGCAUGCGAAAAAAAAAGGGUAAAGAAUGAAAUUUUUUUUUUGGAUGAGGAGGCGAGCUUGGUUUGCGUGCUGGGAAUGCAAGUGUAGAGUCGCGAGUGCCGGAGUUUUCAACGGUAGCAAACUCCUCUAUUUUUAGUUUUAUAAAAUUACAUGAAUAUUACAUCCCACGUUGGUUUUCUUUAUAAUAUUUUAGGGUCAAUUAUAUUGUAGUCCUUGUAGUUUAUUUAAAAUAAUUAAUUAGUCCUUGUACUAUAGGACAAAAAUGAGUAAUUAGUUCAUUGACAAACAUUGACCAUUUCAAUUUUUUGGUGUUUUUUUUUGUUGUUUUAGAAAAUAUCUUUUUUUUUUAUCAACUCUUUCUACCUUAUUUUGAUCUCUGUUUCUUCUUUAUUUUUUUAUCUAUAAAAAACAAAAAAAAAGUAUAGGAAAAUAAAAAUAAGAUUAAACUAUAAAUGAAUUUAAGAAAAUAUAAAAAAAUAAUAUAUAAUUUCUGAAAAAGUGUUUACUUUUCUUAUCUGUCACUCCAUCUAUUGAACAUUGCGAGCAUCCUCUGAGAAUUAAGUUGCAUCGGUUUUUCUUCUGUUAUAUGCUCCAGAUAUUGAUGCUCGUAGAUGGAGAAAACAUAUGCAUAAGAAGCAUAGCUCAUGUUCUGCCAAAAUGUCAUGUGAAUGUUACUUGUCAUAUUUCCAUGAGCUUUUGUCUUUGGCACAUCCUCAAAUUUCUUUAUCAGUCCAUUGUAAUUGUCUGACUGUCGGUUCCAAAAGAAUACAGACUGCACAGGCUACAAUAUUUUUGUGGUGUUGUAUUACUUUGAUGUGCUGGACAUUUAUUCCUUGCAGAUCAAAAACAAUCCCUCGGACAAUAUGGAUGACAUGCACUCAAGUAAUGAUGAUUAUAACGUACCUGUUGUUUGCUUCUGCAAUUGAUGGUAUCCUUUACGCCGCAACAGCAUUACUUGGGAUCAGCGGAAAUUUUGAAGAAAAAUAAGAAUGUUUCAAUGGAAGAAAGGUUUCUCUGUUUCUUUGAAUAUUAACGUGAAUAUACCACUUACUAUUCUAUACGAGCUGCUGUUUUUUAUAACAUUACAAGUUGCUUAAUUUGGAUACAUUGACUUGCCUAAUUCUUAGCUGAUCUAUUUCCAUAACAAUCCAACGUCUCUUUCUCUUUUUGGUUCCUGUCAUAAACUUCAUUGCUGCUGCUGUUGAUUUAUUUCCAUAACAAACCAACGUCUCUUUCUAUUUGUGUUUUGUUACCAUGAGAGUUGGUUUGUUUCCAUUGUUGCUGGUGAUUCUAAUUAGCCAACGUCUCUUUAAAGAAUAACUUUUUGGCCGCUUAACCCCCAUCCUCCUCCUCCUCCUCCUCCUCCACCUUUAUAUUAAUUUUUAAUUAACAUUAUUUACAUUUAAAAUUUUUUUUAAUGUUUUUUUGAAACACAUUCAUUUUGUAAUGAAUAUUAUUUCACUUUGAGUUUUUGUUGCUUAAUAUAAAUUUUAUUUGCAUAAUUGGUUUGUAUUACCAUUAAUUUAUAUCAUUUUUUCAAAAUAAUUAAAAAACAAUUAAAAAAAAAACAAUUACACAGGGAUUUACCGACGGAAUAACUCCGUCGGCAUUGGACAGUGUCUACCACCGUCACCCACGGAACAAAUCCGUCGGUAUAAAUUCCCCGACGUAUUUACCGACGGAAAUAUUCGGUCGGUAUAAAAUAUCACCGACACUUUUGCCGACGGAUUUAUUCCGUCGGUAUUUUUAUAACACCGAUGGAAAAUAUUCCGUCGGUAUAUUCCAAGCGGGAAACUUUUUUUUUUUUGGCGCGCACGGUCCGUUGGUAAAAGUUUUUUUUGUAUUUCCGACCGAUAUAGCGACGGAAUGUAGAAUCACCGACAAAAGGUAUUCCGACGAGAGUAUUCCGUCGGCAAUUUAGUCGGUAAAUACGUUACCGACGAAAUGUCUAUCACACACCGACGAAAUAUGUCCGUCGGUAAAACUGUGAAAUCUUGUAGUGUUUGAUUUGUUUCCAUGUUGCUCGCUGACUGCUGCAGUUAAUUUGUUUCCAUGAGGGCUGAUUCGUUUCCAUGUUGGUUUCCACGUUGCUGGCUUACAGAUGCUGUUGAAUUGUUUCCAUGAGCAUCUGUCUUAUUACCAUUGUCACACCCCACAAAAAAUAUGGUGCGCGGCAUCGCCUGGCGAUUUUCGUUGUGUUCUAAUGAUUUGGUUCUUUGGAGUCGCCACCUAGUAUUUGGUCACUAGGAACCCUAACUGGUCUUUCAAAGAUUCUAAGGCAAGGGACUGGUUGCGUAAAGGGAAGGUACUAGCACCCCUAGUACGCCCUACCUAAGGUAAGCUGCUUGGUGUUUGGUUUGCUCUAUAGUCUAUGGUGUUGGUGUCUUCUAAACCCGUCAAUUUAUUUUGGAUAGAAACCGAAGGAGAUUCCAUGUGCUUUGAAAGCUCAUUUUUCCCUUAGUAUUUCAAGAGUUGGCGACUCGUAAAUCGCAAGGAAAAAGAAAAAAAGAACGAAGAAAAUUUCACAAUUCUUAAAAAAAACAAAUAUAUAUUUGGUUGUUUGUUUUUCAUAUAUAUAUUGGUUUUUAUAUAUACUUUGAUUUGUAUUUUUUAUAUUAUGGGGUACAAUUUUCAGUGUUAAAAAAAAAACACCCGUUUUCGUAAAAAAAAAAAAUAUAUUUCUUGCGUGUUGCAUACGGCCAAUACUCUAACAUGUUUUGAAUUUUCUUUUUAUAGAUAAAAAAAAAAUAUUGGAAGCUUUGAAAGUGUGUUUUCGUAUAGAUUUCUUAAACACAAAUUUAUUUUCUUGCAUUUGUGGAUUUUACAACAUGUUUGUAAAACUCCAAAGGGUAUUGGCCAAUAUUCCAAAAACUAUAAAAAUUUUAUUUUUUUAAAAAAAUAUAUACAUGUACAUGCAUAAUAUAAUAAAAUAAUAAUAUAAUAUAAUAUAUUAAGUGGGCUGGGCCGGCCCAACUAACUGGGCCGGACUCCAGCCCCAAAACGUUGGGCCGAACUCGACCCAACAAUAUCUGGUCUUGAUCUGGGCCGGACCGGCCCAGACCUAAAUCAUUGGGCCUGACCCUGUCUGGCCCAAAAGAAGGAAAGAAUGAACGGGGGGAAUUAUUCCCCCCCCCCCCCGUGCCUCCUGCAUGCAGAGACGAUUCUGCAUGCAGGAGGCCAACCAAAUGCCAGCCUCUAAAGAAGAUGCACGGGGGGUCAGGGUAGCGUACCUGGCGCAGCGGAGACGGCGGCUUGCUGGCGGAGGCUACGAUGGCAGCGGCUUAUCUCGCGGUGGUUUUCAAGAGGACCGAGACCCACUCCUUCGGUUCGUUUGCUUUUGUUUCAAAUGCUUGAGUCCACUCUCGGUUUCAACUAUCCCAAGCUGCUUCACCCUGUGUUUCCAGUCGCUGUUUCUGAAGUUGUGGUUUCUCUCUCCUUCGGUCUCUCUCUCUCUCACUGUCUCGUUUUUUGUCUUUCUUUUUCGGGUCACUCCUUCGGUUUUUUUUUCUCCCUCCUCUCUCACUCUGCUUCUUCUCUAUUUAUAGGCAUAUCGGGGCAUGCAUGGGGUAACGAAGCGUGCUGGUCGGCAGGCGCCGUUGCCGAGGUGCUUCUCUCGGUUUCGGGGGUUCCAAGGUGUGGAGCGUUGGGCCAUGGCACGUGAGGAGAGAGGCGGGGACAAAAACCCCGGUUUUCCUCUUCUCUGCUACGCCUGCGGGGGGGAAGAAGAAGAGAAACAAUGCCGUUCAAAACGGCACCGUUUGGUCUCUAUUCCUUUUUUUUUUUUUUUAAACGCAUGAAACGGCGUCGUUUUGGAGAAAACGCGCCGUUUCAUUUAAAUGUGGUGCCAGAAACGCGCCAACGUUCAUAUCAGUCCCCCAAUUAUUUUUGUUCCUUUCAAUUGCGUCCCUGCCAAUUUCGGCUUCGUCCGCCUAGUUGGCCGCCUUGUCCACUUUAGUCCUUGGCCUCUGAUUUAUGCAAUUAAGCCCUCAAUUGAUCAAUAAACUUCCAAUUUCUUCAAUUAGGCCCCUCAAUCAAUUCCAAACAGCCCCCCUAUCUUUGCGCCUUUUUCAAAUUGGUCCCUGGUUUCGGAUUUUCAACAAUUAAACCCCUAAUUGGCCAUUAAACUUCAAUAUUUAUGCAAUUAAGCCCCUGAUUUGACUUAAUAAAAUCCUAAAAAAUAUAAUUUGGCCCCAGAACUUAAAUUUCUUCUAUUUAAAGCCCAAAUUGACUUAAAAAUCAAUUUUUCUUGCAAUCAAAUCCCCUAUAAAUCCAAUUAAAAAUUCAAUUAAGUCCAUAAACAUCCAAAUUUGGGCUUUUCUCCUCAAAAUUCAAAAUUCCCUUCUAAACAUGGCCCUCAUCCUUCAAGAAUAUACUGCCAAAAAAUCCAAUCUUUGUAUUUUUAUCCAAUCUUUGUAUUUUUAUAUUCCUUGACCAAUUUUCUGAUCAUUUUCCGAGCGCUUCUGCCUCCUGUUAUUUUUCUAACCUUCUUUGGCUAUUUAUUUUAUUUUUUUUGCGGGGACCCAAAAAUGGGUUACAACAGAUGCCCCCUCUUUAUAGAGCUUACGGAGCAAAGGUUUUGCGCAGUAAGUUUUAUAAAGAUAAUCCAAACUAAACUCCCGAAAACUGAUCUGGUCGAAGCUUGAUCGAUCUGAAACUCUUUCUUUACAACAAUCCUCUUCGGCCAUCGGAAUCCCAUCUGGUAAUUCCCUUUAACGAAAAUAAAAUAUGAGGUCCCUUCUGGCGACCCCUUUUGACAAAUAUCGAAAUACGAGAUCCCUUCUGGCGAUCUCCUUUAAUCAACUUGGAAUCCCAUCUGGCGAUUCCUAUUAACAAACAUGAAGUACGAGGUCCCAUCCGGCGACCCCAAAUAGUGAAACACGAGAUCCCUUCUGGCGAUUCAAACAACCUGGAAUCCCAUCUGGCGAUUCCUUUUAACCAACAUGAAAUGUGAGGUCCCAUCUGGCGACCUCCAAUAGUGAAACACGAGAUCCCUUCUGGCGAUCUCAACAACCUGGAAUCCCAUCUGGCGAUUCCUUUUAACCAAAUGAAAUACGAGGUCCCAUCUGGCGACCUCCAAAUAGUGAAACACGAGAUCCCUUCUGGCGAUCUCAAACAACUUGGAAUCCCAUCUGGCGAUUCCUUUUAACCAAUGAAAUACGAGGUCCCAUCUGGCGACCUCCAAAUAGUGAAACACGAGAUCCCUUCUGGCGAUCUCAAACAACUUGGAAUCCCAUCUGGCGAUUCCUUUUAUUCAAAUGAAAUAUGAAGUCCCUUCUGGCGACUCUUCAUCGAAAACGAGAUCCCUUCUGGCGAUCUCUUUUAACCAAACAACUUGGAAUCCCAUCUGACGAUUCCCUUUUACCGAUUGUUAUCGAUGUCGUUCUUCCUGCUGGCAGGAUUUGAAAAAUAUUAUCUUCUCUUCUUGUUGUUCUAGACUCAACUCAAUGAUUCUUUCUCGUCCACAAUCUUGUUGGAAUGCACUAAGAUCUCCUCCUGUAACGAUAAAAAACAUAUAUGCAAUGAUUUAUGAUUAGAUGCAAUGCAUGCAUUCGUACCUGGUUUUGAAACAUAGGCCCCAUCCUCUUCUAGUUCAUGAGACUCUUCUUAACAUGAGCUUGCUUUUGAAGUCGUAUGUGGAUUCAUCUCUCGUGUUGCCUUUUUACUUAUCAUAUUCUUGGAGAAGAAGUAUUUGACUUUCCUUAAGUAGUCCUUUUCUCAAAAUGUAAGACUUGUUAUUGCCUUUUGUCAUGCUUUUGUCAAAUGCUUUAGCUUGGUUUUCAAAUUAUAGGCUUCCGUAAAACUUUUAUAUAAAAAAUCUUGUAUUGCCCCCAGUGUAGGGGUGUGAUCCUAGUUUGAGCUUUUAUAUUAGAGAAGAAAUAGUUCAGUCGAUGCUAAAAUGAGUGAUGAGAUGCACUGUUAGGAUUAAUGCAAAAAUGAUUGUUGUGAGAUCAAUGCACAAAAGGAAAGAAAUCAAUGGCCAAACUUUGCUUUAUUGAUUUAGGGAACUACAUCAAGCGUAAUAUCUUUUUACAGAGUCAGAAUUCACAGGUCGAGCUAGGUCUUCUCCAUCCAUUCUAGCUAACUUCAACGCUCCUCCUGAGAAUGCCUUUGUUACUACAUAAGGACCCUCAUAAUUUGGUGCCCAUUUGCUUUGAUCAUCUCCGGGUAAUGACAAUAUUUUCUUCAAUACUAGAUCCCCUUCUUGAAACAACCGCGGUCUAACCUUCUUAUCAUACGCCUUAGCCAUUCGUUUCUGGUAAAGUUGGUGAUGACAUAUUGCGGCCAUCCUCUUUUCACUGAUCAGGUUCAGUUGCUCGUGUCUCACUCUGGCCCACUCGGCCUCUUCUAACUCAGAAUCUAUUAACACUCUUAACGACGGGAUUUCCACUUCCAAAGGCAUCACUGCCUCCAUACCGUACACCAAAGAAUAUGGGGUAGUCCCUGUCGAGGUUCGAACUGCGGUGCGAUAUGCAUGAAGGGCAAAUGGCAACAUCUCAUGCCAAUCCUUAUAGGUGACUACCAUCUUCUGAAUAAUCUUUUUGACAUUCUUGUUAGCAGCUUCUACCGCCCCAUUCAUCUUUGGUCUAUAUGGCGAAGAAUUGGAAUGCUUGAUUUUCCAUUUAGUGCAGAGCUCUAUUAUCAUCUUGCCGUUGAAAUUCUGGGCAUUAUCAGUUAUAAUCUUUUCUGGUGGACCAUACCGACAUAUCAAAUCUCUCUCAAUAAAUUUCUUCACCACUUUUUGUGUCACAUGAGCAAAUGACCCGGCUUCUACCCAUUUUGUGAAGUAGUCAAUAGCCACGAGGAUAAAUCUAUGACCAUUGCUCGCUUUUGGGUUUACAGGUCCAAUCACAUCAAUUCCCCACAUCGCGAAGGGCCAUGGAGAUGUUAAGUUAAACAGAGGAGCUGGUGGCAUAUUGACCUUGUCACUGUAAAUUUGACAUUUGUGACAUUUUCUGACAUAGUCGAUACAAUCUUUUUCUAGUGUCAUCCAAAAAUAACCAGCCCUUUGGAUUUUCCUUGCCAUCAUAUGCCCGCUAGCAUGGGUUGAGCAAAUCCCCUCAUGGACCUCUCUUAAUGCCUUUCUAGCAUCUGCCUCAUCCAAACACCUUAACAGGGUUCCAUCAAAUGAUCUUUUAUACAAAAUCUCUCCAUCUAAAUAGAAGCCUAUAGCCAACCUUCUCAAGGUUUUCUUAUCCGUUUUAGAAGCUCCCACCGGAUAUUCCUGAUUCUGCACAAGAUUCUUGAUAUCGUAAUACCAAGGUUGUCCGUCCAUCUCUCCUUCCACUAAACAACAAUGCGCUGGAUCGUUUCUAAUAUCAAUGUGUACCGGUUGUACCUUGCUCUUGAGGUCAAUGGUAGUCAUAGCCGCUAGUGUGGCCAAAGCAUCCGCAAAAUGGUUCCCCUCCCUUCCCAGAUGGGUGAAUCUAAUUUCUUCAAAUUCCUUUGCUAGCACGGAUAGGUAUUCCUGGUACGGCCUCAACUUUUCUUCUUUGGUUUGCCAUUCCCCUUUGACCUGGCAGAUGAUCAACAUUGAAUCCCCAUAUACAUCUAUCUUCUUUAUCUUUAACUCCAAUGCCGCUUCUAAACCGAGUAUACAAGCUUCAUACUCAGCUGUAUUGUUGGUGCACUCGAAAUGUAGUUUGACCGAAACUGGGUAUUGUUUCUUAUUAGGAGAGAUUAUUACCGCCCCUGCCCCGUUACCAUAUACAUUUACUGCCCCGUCAAAAAACAUGGUCCACCAAUCUGUCUUCUCUUCUUCCUUUUCUAUUGACAAUAUAUCUUCAUCAGGGAAAUCAAAAUCCAAAGAUUCGUAAUCUUCAAUAGCAUUAUCGGCCAGAUGGUCCGCGAUUGCACUCCCUUUUACGGCUUUCCUUGUCAUGUACACUAUGUCAUAUUCUGCUAAUAAAACCUGCCACCUUGCAAUUCGACUUGAGAGAAAAGGCUUAUUACAAAUAUACCUCAGGGGAUCCAAUUUUGAAAUCAACCAAGUGGUAUAGUAUAACAUGUAAUGUCGCAACCUCUUUGCCGCCCACACCAACGCACAACAAAGUUUUCUAUCUCCGUGUAUCUGGACUCACAUUCAGUGAAUUUCUUACUCAAGUAAUAAAUAGCUCUUUCCUUCCUUCCGGUUUCAUCAUGCUGACCCAAUACACAUCCCAUGGCUACUUCAGUUACGGUUAGAUAUAAUACUAGAGGUUUCCCUGAUACAGGAGGCACCAGUAAAGGUGGAUUUUGUAAAUAAUGCUUGAUUUUAUUGAAUGCCUCCUCACACUCCUCAUUCCAGGUUCCAGGAUUCUUUUUCCUUAGUAGUCGGAAUAUAGGCUCGCAUGUUGUUGUUAGCUGAGCUAUAAAUCGAGCAAUGUAAUUCAACCUUCCCAAGAAUCCUCUUACUUCUUUCUCCGUCUUAGGGGAUGACAUAGCUUGAAUGGCCCUUACUUUAUCUGGAUCCACCUCUAUACCUCUAUCACUUACCACAAAUCCCAACAGCUUGCCCGAUUUAACUCCGAAUGAACAUUUUGCAGGAUUAAGCCUUAGUUCAUACUUCCUCAACCUCUCGAAUAACUUCCUCAAAACUUCCACAUGAUCCUGUCCCUUUUUAGACUUGGCAAUCAUAUCAUCUACAUACACCUCAAUUUCUUUGUGCAUCAUGUCGUGGAAUAGAGUCACCAUUGCUCUUUGAUAUGUUGCACCUGCGUUCUUUAACCCAAAUGGCAUGACCUUGUAGCAGUAGGUCCCCCAAGGUGUGACAAAAGUUGUUUUCGCCUUAUCCUCUGAGCCAUUUUUAUUUGAUUGUAUCCUGAAAAACCGUCCAUAAAGGAAUAAGUGGAACUUCGGGCAGCAUUAUCCACUAAAACAUCUAUGUGUGGUAGAGGAAAAUCAUCCUUAGGGCUAGCUCUAUUCAAAUUCCGAAAAUCCACACAAACUCUAAUCUUCCCUUCUUCUUAGGCACCACAACAAUGUUAGAUACCCAUUGUGGAUAUCUAACUACUUCUAGAAAGCCAGCAUCCCAUUGCUUUUCGAGUUCUGCCUUGACCUUGAUCCAGACGUCCGGGUGGGCCCUCCUCAGUUUCUGCUUGACUGGCUUAUAACCUUCUUCCAACGGUAUCUUGUGUUCUACAAUACUUGUAUCCAAACCGGGCAUAUCUUCAUAGGACCAAGCAAAGACAUCUGAAUAUUCUUGUAAUAGGGUGAUCAUUUUUAUCCUUUGUUCAGAAGUAAUUAGGGUACCUAUUUUCAAUCUUUCUUGAGCUGACCAUUGCCCACAUUGAUGGUUUCGAGUUCCUCGGCGGCAGGCUUCCAAGCCUGUUCCUGUUGUUCUACUAGCCUGGUGAAUUCACUGAUAUUGCUUUCAUCCCACUCUUCUUCUUCCAUAGAUAUUACAUGCUCGUUCAAGUUUGGCCAUUUAUUCUUGAUGCUAGAUGUAUGUGAUGUUGUAGGAGAUCCGCUUUCAGGAUUCCUGAAAGCGGGAAGUGCUUGGUGUAAAUGCAUAUAUAUAAAAAAAUUUUUGAAAAAAGUGCAUGAUCUCAUAUUCAUUCAAAGGAAAAGGUGGGCUCCAAGACAAACAUAGAAUCUAGCUGACAUCAUGAGCCUUGAUUGUCAACUAGAGAAAAUAAAGCAAACAUAAGCAAUGACAAAAACAUUUUAAGGCAAACAAAGUUGGUUUACAUUUUGAAAACCACUGGAGCUUCUUGGGUCACCCAAUUCUGGAACUUUUCGCCUUGAGCCAACUUGCGCACAAAGGUCUUGGCGGAGACUUCUUCUAGCGUAUGGAUCGUCAGUUGUGGCAGCACUUCAUCUUCUUUUCCCGCUAUUUCUUUCGCUUCACCUUUUUCCUUCUCCUUUCCCUCCAAGGUGUUUAUGCUCAUAUCUGCCAGCUCUAGACCCAGGCUUUCAGCUCCCUUAUCAUGUUGCACUAUGUAUGCAGCUCUUGGGAAUGAUACACGAAGGGGAGGGAUUUCCAGCUGUUCUUCUUCAAGAUCUCUUCCUUUAAUUCUAGCCAUCCUUCUUGUCCUUCUCCGAUCAGCAGCCCAACGAUAAUCCUCUUGGUUAGGUUGAUAUCCUAGCCCAAAUCUUUGAUCAGCUUUCUCUUCCUUGUCGGAUUAGCCCCUUCUGGUAUUCCGCAAGCGAGGUUAUAUCGACGUGGGACCCCACGGUUCAAGAAACAUAGACUUGCCAUCCUUGCUGCUUCUGAGAUCCUUGGCCUUCUUAGCACGGUGUUCUCCGGUACCCAGUCGGUGUUCACGAUCUCAAAAGCAUGGAUAUUGUUAUCCUUGCAAUCCUCCGCUUCGAUGAAAGGCACAGCCACAUUCUUUAUCAUGGAUAUUGCCUCCUCAGCCUUGACGGUUACUAACAUCCCAUUCAUGAUGUACUUCAGACAUUGGUGCAAUGAUGAAGCUACUGCCCCCGCUGCGUGGAUCCAAGGUCUUCCCAACAACAUGCUAUAGGAAGGGUGGAUAUCCAUAACCUGAAGUGUCACUAGGAACAUUUGCGGUCCCACAUAUAGCUCCACUUCUAAAGUCCCAAGUAUUGGCCUAGGUGAGCCAUCAUAUGCUCUGGCUAUCAUAGUACUUGGCUUCAUAUGGGAUUCAUCAAUUGGCAUUUCCUCCAGAAUGUGCUUUGGCAACACGUUGAGGGACGAGCCAUUAUCGACGAGCACCUUCCCUAUGAGGCAGUCUUUGCACCUAACAGUAAUGUAUAAAGGCUUGUUGUGUCCGGUACCUUCAGCAUCAAGCUCAUCAGCCGUGAAGUAGAGGUAAUUAGUUGCAUGGAUCCUCCCCACUAAAUGCUCCAUGGUUUUGUGCUCAAUGUCUGGGUACAUAUGCCUCAUUCAAUACCUUUUGCAAGGCAUUUCGAUGCGGCUCAGAGCUGAGUAUCAAAGACAUAAGGGAGAUCCGAGCUGGAGUCUUUUUUAGUUGAUCCACUAUGCAAUAUUCGCUAUGCUUGAUCAACUUUAAAAACUCAUUCGACUCCUCUUCUGUUACCGGCUUAUUAACUUCUGGUGCUUUGUCCAGAUCGACCACUUCUUUACCCUUUUCCUUCCUCCAUUCUUCAGGCGUAAAGCAACGACCACUCCUGGUCAAACCACCUAUCUCUGUCUGGAACAAAGGAAGAGGCGUUCGAAUGUUAGAUGCAUACCCAUAAUUAUACGGCAUGGCAUUGUGAUUCUCUUUGUGCAAGACGGUUUAAUCAAGAUAAGCCUUGGGGGCCCAUUAGCAGUCUGUUGGACCCUGCAAACUCCUGCCAUCUCAUCUUCACCUUCCAUCAUGCUCACCUCACACUUGCUCUCCAUGGGUUCAAUCCUCAAUUGUCCCAUCUUCAACAUUUUUGCGAUCUUUUCGCAAAACUCGGCGCAAUCCUCAAUGUGAUGUCCGUCUCUUCCGUGAAACUCACAGUAGUCAUCUCUCUCCAAUUGCCUUACCACCUUUGCCUCUGGAAAUCCUGAUUGUACUAACAUGUCGUCAACCUUUUCUUCGGCACCUUCAACACCUUGCCUUGAUUUCCCACUUCGAUCAUGCCUAUUCCACCACUAUUUGGAGCAUGUUUAGGCAAUGGGUUUGAAUUAACAUUGGGCUUAUCUUUGAAGGAUACCCAACCCAACUUAAUAAGCUCCAAUAACCUCUUCUUGAAUGCAUAGCAGGUUUCAAUCCCAUGCCCGGGAUUACCCCCAUGGUACUCGCAAGUCAAAUCGGGCUUGUACCAAAUUGGGAAUGGUGGUUGUAGUGGUAGUGUAGGGAUAGGAGCUACUUGUCCAAUGCUCAAAAGUUUGGCAUACAUGUCCUUCAAAGGCAUGGGUAACGGUGGCAGUUGUUCUGAAGUGUAUCCUGAGUGGGGUCUUUGGUAGUGAUUUUGGUAGUUUGGUUGGUUAUUUGUUCGGUUAGGUGAAAAAGAUUGGUUAAAGUUUACGCGUGGGAAUUGAGAGGUAGGUGUUUGUGGGCUGUGGAAAUUUACUUUCUUGCCUUUGUACCCGCCUUCCAAAUUGUUAACGUCCCCUUCUCUUUUCCUUCCCAUAAAACCUUUCUUCUCUAAAGGCUCCGCUAUGCGCCCUGCUUUAAUUCCUUGCUCUAUCCUUUCCGCCACACGUACAACAUCAAAGAAAUGUUGAGAUGAGCUACCCAUUAAAUGCUCAUAGUAGGGUGCCUUGAAUGUAUUGGCGAACAAAGUCACCAUCUCCGUUUCUAUCAAAGGGGGUUGCACGUGCGUGGCCUCGUCCCUCCAUCUUUGCGCAUAAGCCCUCACUGACUCUUGGCUUCUCUUUUCCAUUGACAUGAGGCUCGUUCGAUCUGGCGCAAUUUCCAAAUUGAACUUGUAUUGCUUUAGGAAAGCCUCCACUAAGUCCUUCCAUUUCUUAAUCUUGACAUUAUCCAGCCUCAUGUACCAACUUAGCGCAGAUCCCGAUAGACUGUCUUGGAAAAAGUAGAUCAUUAACUUAUCGUCAUGAAUCACUUCAGCCAUCUUAUUGCAAUAAGAUCGAAGGUGAGUGUUUGGGCAUUCCAACCCAGUGUACCUUAUAAACUCUGGUAUCCUAAAAUCUUUUGGUACCGUGAGGUUAGGUACCAAGCAUAUUUCCGACGCUCGCAUGGGGUCAAACCAAUCAUUUCCCUCGACUGCUCUUAACCUUUCUUCUAAUGCUGAUAUCUUGUCAUCAUUCACAAAACCAGUGGACCUAUUAUCGGAAGGCCCCGGCUGUUAAAUCUACAGUGAUAUGAGCUUGAGGGGGCUGAAUGGGAAUAGCAGGUGCAAAGUGCUGCCCCGUCGCUGAAUCUGCCCCCAAGUUCUGAGAUAACCCCGGGACAUGGACUGACGGUGCUCCUAUAGGUGGUUGGGUAGAUGUUCCCUCCCCGUUCUUGGCUCUUAAAAGUUGCUCAAGCAGAUUGGUUAGCCGAGAAACUUCAUUUUUCACAGAUUCCAACUCGGUCUGGUAGUGUGACUCUAAUUGAGCUCUUUCUUCGUUUUCCAUUCUUGAUCUGGAACGGGUUUGGUGGAUUCGGAUGUGGGACCUAUGUUUCACGAUCUGCAGAUGCAUGCAUAGAUGUAUGAGAAAAAUGUAUGAUUGUGAUGGAUGCAUGAUUGUGAUGUAUGGUUGUGAACGAAACAAACAAACAUCCCAUUAUAAGUAUUCUCUUGUCACAUUGCUUUGAUAGGAGUUCUGCCUUUCGAGUCGUUUGCUUGAAUCAUGUUCACCAAGAGACAGAUUUUGCAUAAGAAGAUGGGUCAACGCCCUUUUCAUUAACGCUUGGAUAAAAAUACAUUAGAAAUAAAAGAAAUACAACAUUGCUAAUCCCUCUCCUCCCUAAACUCUUUAGCCAACGGUAAGAAAGCAAAACCGCGGUUCUCAAUCUUCCCUAGAAAGGCAUCGGUUUCAGCUAGGCUUCGGCGAUAGCGAAUGAUGUCUCCUCCCACAUUACGUGUAUUGAUUCUAAUAAUUCGAGCGUGUGGGCAGCUUCGUCCAUUUGCUCAUCUGUUUUGGUCAUUUUUUCUAUGAGCAACAUGUUGGUUCUGUUCAAAGCCGUGUUGUUGGCGUCGAUUUGAUCCUUGUGCUUUUCCAUUGCUACUAGCUUCUCGUCUAGAUACUUCACCUUUUCGCGUUCUUUGUCAAGUUUUAUCCUCAUGACUUUUAUCUCAUUCUUCUUCACCACUAACUCUGCUUUAACAUCCUCGAAAUCUCCCCUUUCAUUUUCCAACUCCAUAUAUCUCUUAUUCAAAUCCUCGUACUUCCCAAUCCUAUCCAUUAGUUCGAAUUGCACUUGCGCAAAUUUCUCUUGGUAAUAUUCUGCACUUUCUUGGCAAUCGCUGAAGUCCAUCUCCAUUGCUUCAAGUUCAGAGCAACCUUGCAUCCAAUCCAAACUCACCCCUUUUAGCUCCUUCUCGCUUCUUUCCCUAGCAAUCUUCUCCUCACCCAGUUUUGACUCAAGCUUUGUUAUUUUCAUGUCUCUAGACUGUAUUUGCUCAUCUAGAAAUGUUCUCAUUUUAUCCUGUUCUAUCAUCAUUUCUUCCAACAUUGCUUUGUCUUUUCUGCUCUUGCUCAAUUCUAUUCGUAGUUUCUCCACUUGCCUUCUCAAGUCUUCUUCAUUGUUAACCCUCCUUCUCUUAAUGGGUUCCUCUACAGUUUGAGGAGAUUUGACUUCUACACGAGGCAUGGCUGAAGCAGCUGAAUCAUCUUCAACAUUAACCCUUUUUCUCUUAAUAGGCUCCUCUACAACUUGAGGAGAUUUAGCUUCUACGCAAGGCACGGCUGAAGCAGCUGAGGCUCUCCAUUUUACAUAUCCUUCGCUCAUACUUGGAUCUCUCAAACCUUCUAUCUCCACUAACACGAGAUGCUUCCAAUCUUGUUUGAUGAUCUCCAAAACUUCUUCUGCCAUGGGAUCUUUGAACAGACCAAAGAAUUGAGCAAUUCCCAUAGUCCUGGGAACAAACUGCAUGCCCCCAAGUUGUCUUACCACUAAAGCCGGGGCAUAACUCACAUAACCCGUAAUCCCCACCAAUGGUACCCAACGCCUUUGUCCACAACUCAUUAGGACCUUCACUGUCGUUACCCAUGGGGCUCUCCAUUUAAAAUCGCUAUUAGGUAAACCUUCUAAUUUAUCAACCCAACCCUGGUUGUCUAGAUCUCCCCAUUCUUCUUCUUCUACUAACUUUAGGGGUUUUUGGGUGAACCACCAAAAAUUAUUGAAGACAGGUUUCUUUGUUUCGAUAUGGCUAACCAUCCAAAUAUACAACAGUUGCGUGCAGCAUCUCAUUGCUCCUUUUCCAGCUCUCCUACAAUGGUUAAGUGUCAAAAAUGUUUCGGCUAAAAUAGCAACCACUGGAUUGAUCUGUGUGUUCUCAUACUCCACAUAAGCAGCAGCGGCCUCCAAACUUACUAAACCAGUCUGACUUGGGAACAACACAAGACCAAAUAUACCUAAGGCAAUCAAUCUCUCUUUUUCUACUCCUGACUUCUUUUCCAACUCUAGCAUCCUCCAUUUCAAACCGGUACCAUUCUUUUCCAGAAACUUUUCCAAGUUGGAGAUUCUGAGCAGUUUUGACAGCUCAGGGAUGAUCUUGUCGGACCUCAAAGGAGAAUAAAUCCGAUACAGGUCGUUGGGAAACUCGGUCAACAAUCCAUAUUCCUCAAUCGUGGGGCACAAGUCUAUGCUUCCAAAGGAGAAACAUCGGUAGUCUGGAUCCCAAAAAUGAACUAAGGCUCGCACAGCUGGGCUUAAAACUUCUACCUUUGCGAUUUCCAUCAAACGUCCGUAUUUCCUAAAAAAUGCAUCUUUAUCCACAUUCUGAAAAUGAGUCGUUAACUUGUCCACCUCAUUCACUAUGCAAUUCAGGUUCUUGAUUGGUGACAUCUUCUUAGCAUCGCUUCUAAGGCAGUCUCCUUCAGUCAAUUGUGACAGUUCAGAAUUCUUUCCAUACUCUACGAUGGAAGAUUUGAUGAUGGUCAUUUCGUUCACAAAUCCUGCAAUUCAAAAUGCAUGGGGGUUAGUCUUGUUUUGAUGCAAAAGAUAUAUCGGAACAUACACCCUAAGGAUAGGUUCUAGUUCUUUUACGUGAGACAUAGGGUAGGUUUACUACUAGGUCUCUAAAAGAGGGUCUCUUGCUGUUCCAGUGACCACCCUCGUAAAGGCGAUAUGGAGGUCCAGCAGAUAGUGGGAUGGCACGUGUACCAAUCACAAUCAGUCUAAACACUCAGCAAAGAGUUGGGGUUUACACAAACUUAAACCUUGACUCAAGUCAUAAGGCAAGCUGCUAGUCCCCCACUUAACCUUAAAGUUACAUGUGUGUGCCCUCAAAACAUAAUAACAAUAAUAAAGUGAUGCAUGACCAUGCCAUGUACGAUAGAAUGUAAAGAUGUAUGCUAAAAGCUUUUAAACAAAGCAACGUAAGAAACAAAAACCAAUACACAUAGCAUAAACAAACAAAAAACAAGCUUAGUCCAAGGGUCCCCAGUGAGUCGCCAUUCUGUCACACCCCACAAAAAAUAUGGUGCGCGGCAUCGGCUGGCGAUUUUCGUUGUGUUCUAAUGAUUUGGUUCUUUGGAGUCGCCACCUAGUAUUUGGUCACUAGGAACCCUAACUGGUCUUUCAGAGAUUCUAAGGCAAGGGACUGGUUGCGUAAAGGGAAGGUACUAGCACCCCUAGUACGCCCUACCUAAGGUAAGCUGCUUGGUGUUUGGUUUGCUCUAUAGUCUAUGGUGUUGGUGUCUUCUAAACCCGUCAAUUUAUUUUGGAUAGAAACCGAAGGAGAUUCCAUGUGCUUUGAAAGCUCAUUUUUCCCUUAGUAUUUCAGGAGUUGGCGACUCGUAAAUCGCAAGGAAAAGGAAAAAAGAACGAAGAAAAUUUCACAGUUCUUAAAAAACAAUUUUAUACUUUCACGACUCGUAAACCGUGGAAAAAAUUAAAAAUUUUGAAAUGUCCUCGAUUACAAUCAAAGCUUCUUUCAAACAUGUGUACAGAUUUAUUACUCCCAAUAAUAUUUUGGAUGUUCAUCCUUUUAAAGAUUUCUUCAUCCAAACAUUAGCGGUGAAUAAUAAAUACAAUUUCUCCUCCCAAAAUAAAAUUUUUAUAGUUUUUGGAAUAUUGGCCAAUACCCUUUGGAGUUUUACAAACAUGUUGUAAAAUCCACAAAUGCAAGAAAAUAAUUUGUGUUUAAGAAAUCUAUGCGAAAACACACCUUCAAAGCUUCCAAUAUUUUUUAUAUAUAAAAAGAAAAUUCAAAACAUGUUAGAGUAUUGGCCGUAUGCAACACGCAAGAAAAUAUUUUUUUUUUUUACGAAAACGGGUGUUUUUAAACACUGAAAUUUAUCCCCAUAUAUAAAAAACAAAUCAAUAUAUAUAAAAACAAAAAAUAUAUAUAUAUAUAUAUAUAUAUGAAAAAAACAACAAUAUAUUUUUUUAGACUUUUCGGAAUAUUUUAUUUUUUUUUUUUUUAAAAAAUAUAUAUAUAAUUACAUGCAUAAUAUAAUAAAUAAUAAUAUAAUAUUAAUAUAUUAAGUGGGCUGGGCCGGCCCAACUAACUGGGCCGGACUCCAGCCCCAAAAACGUUGGGCCGAACUCGGCCCAAAUAUCUGUCUUGAUCUGGGCCGGACCGGCCCAGACCCAAUCAUUGGGCCAGACCCUGUCUGGCCCAAAAGAAGGAAAGAAUGAACGGGGGGAAUUAUUUUCCCCCCGUGCCUCCUGCAUGCAGAAACGAUUCUGCAUGCAGGAGGCCAACCAAUGCCAGCCUCAAAAGAAAAUGCACGGGGGUCAGGAUAGCGUACCUGGCGCAGCGGAGACGGCGGCUUGCUGGCGGGGGCUGCGGUGGCGGCGGUGGCAGCGGCUUAGCUCACGGUGGUUUCCAAAGGACCGAGACCACUCCUUCGGUUCGUUUGCUUCUGUUUCAAAUUCUUGAGUCCCCUCUCGGUUUCAACUAUCCCAAGCUGCUCCACCCUGUUUUCAGUCGCUGUUUCUGAAGUUGUGGUUUCUCUCUCCUUCGGUCUCUCUCUCUCUCACUGUCUCGGUUUUUUUCUUUCUUUUCGGGUCACUCCUUCGGUUUUUUUCUCCUCCUCUCUCACUCUGCUUCUUCUCUAUUUAUAGGCAUAUCGGGGCAUGCAUGGGGAACGAGGCGUGCUGGUCGGUCGGUCGGCAGGCGCCGCUGCCGAGGUGCUUCUCUCGGUUUCGGCGCGGCGGGUGGUCGGCCAGUGGCUUCGGUUUCGGGGGUCCAAGGUGUGGAGCGUUGGGCCAUGGCACGUGAGGAGAGAGGCGGGGACAAAAACCCCGGUUUUCCUCUUCUCUGCUACGCCUGCGGGGGGAAGAAGAAGAGAAACAGUGCCGUUCAAAACGGCACCGUUUGGUCUUCUUUUUUUUUUUUUUUUUUAAACGCAUGAAACGGCGUCGUUUUGGAGAAAACGCGCCGUUUCAUUUAAAUGUGGCGCCAGAAACGCGCCAACGUUCACAUCAGUCCCCCAAUUAUUUUUGUUCCUUUCAAUUGCGUCCCUGCCAAUUUCGGUCUCGUCCGCCUAGUUGUCCGCCUUUUCCACUUUAGUCCUUGGCCUCUGAUUUAUGCAAUUUAGCCCUCAAUUGAUCAAUAAACUUCCAAUUUCUUCAAUUAGGCCCCUCAAUCAAUUCCAAACAGCCCCCUAUCUUUGCGCCUUUUCCAAAUUGGUCCCUGGUUUCGGAUUUUCACAAUUAACCCCUAAUUGGCCAUUAAACUUCAAUAUUUAUGCAAUUAAGCCCCUGAUUUGACUUAAUAAAAUCCUAAAAAAUAUAAUUUGGCCCCAGAACUUAAAUUUCUUCUAUUUAAAGCCCAAAUUGACUUAAAAAUCAAUUUUUCUUGCAAUCAAAUCCCCUAUAAAUCCAAUUAAAAAUUCAAUUAAGUCCAUAAACAUCCAAAUUUGGGCUUUUCUCCUCAAAAUUCAAAAUUCCCUUCUAAACAUGGCCCUCAUCCUUCAAGAAUAUACUGCCAAAAAAUCCAAUCUUUGUAUUUUUAUCCAAUCUUUGUAUUUUUAUAUUCCUUGACCAAUUUUCUGAUUAUUUUCCAAGCGCUUCUGCCUCCUGUUAUUUUUCUAACCUUCUUUGGCUAUUUAUUUUAUUUUAUUGCGGGGACCCAAAAAUGGGUUACAACAACCAUUAACAGGAUCUGCUAUGGAGUUCAGUUCUCGAUAAUGAUACCGACUGUCUCUGAGCUUUUCGGCUUGAAGCAUUUUGGUUUAUUUUACAACUUCAUGUCACUAGGAAAUCCUCUCGGUGCGUUCCUUUUCUCAGGUCUUUUCUAUGUUGAUAGUUUGCUAUCAUUUAGAUAUUAAAUUUAUUGUCGUAAAUGAAAUCAAUCUGUUUAGUUUGUGAUUGCUACUACCCAGAAGAGAAAUUCAACAUUCAACUUAUUCGUAAGCCUUUGAAAAUCCAACUUGUUUUCAUAUUUUUUAAUCUUUUUCAUAAAAUGCUAAGAGAACAUCGCGGGUUGGCCUAUGCUCGUGAUGAAAAUCAGCUGACGGCAUUGCAUGCGUUUGCCCAAAAGUCUUGUAUGCCUUCAAACGUCGUCGAUCAAAGUGCUCCAGGAUUUUGGAACAAAUGCCUCAACCCCUGUUAGUUCUCUGAUGCUCCAAAUCUCUGUUUCCUUGGAAAGAAAACCAGUCCAAAAAUUUCAGCACUUUAUACAUCUGUUCAUGGAUGCAUAUAUUGAAGCUUGCAAACUUGUGUGUUACAAGGAAUUAGCACUUGUCAUUUUAUCUUCAAUAUUUUUUUAAUAAAUAUCCAACAAUCCUAUAUAGAAUGCUCAAAGAAAUUUAUAGCAAUUUAACAUUUAAAAACACCAACAUUCUUGCAGAAGUGAUAUAUUGUACACCUCAAUACACAAAAUAUUUCGAAAUGUUACUGAUUUAUCAGAUCUGUUCACUCGUUGGCUAACUGCAUUUGUGUUUUACAUCUUUGAUUUAGAACAUUAACCCCAUUUCCCACAAUUCAAUUCUGUUAUAUUUAAUCCUCAGUUUCGGGUUUCAAAUUGGCUCGGAUGAAGAAACUUAUGCACAAAGAAGCACGUGACAUAAUCCAGUACCUUUGGGAACAGGUUGUAUUGUUGGAUGAUGCAACAAUUUCUCGUCAGAUUGGAUCGAGAACCCUGGCCAUUGAUAUUCACUGCUGCAGAAAGAGGGAAUCUUGACUUUCUAACAAUACUCAUUCGCUUGUAUCCUGAGUUGAUCUUCAAAGUUGAGCACAAUACGUAUAGCAUAUUUCAUAUUUCUAUCUUGAAUCGUCACGAGGACAUCUUCAAGAUUAUAUACCAGAUUGGUUCUAUCAAGAAUUUGAUAACAACAUACAAAGAUAGAGAAGGAAAUAAUAUGUUGCAUUUGGCUGCAAAAGUACUGGAAUCACCAAGUCGACUUAAUGUUAUACCAGGAGCAGCUUUACAACUGCAACGCGAAUUGCUGUGGUUUGAGGUGACCAUUCUCACUCUUUCCAUCAACAAAACACGUUUGAUUGUAGGUCAUAUGAGUUAAGCCAAACCUAACUCGUCCAUCAAAUGUGGAUCACGUUAUGAUAGGCGGAUAAGAUGUUCACAUGCACAAGCAAUAUUCUCCUUCUAUAUAUGAAUCUCACAGUCUCUCUACGUGAUCAUGAUUUCUAGGAAGUGAAAAAAGUCGUUCAACCACGGCACAUUAAUGAAGAAAAAAAUAUUCACGGGAAAACUCCAGGAGCUUUAUUUAUAGAACAGCACAAGGACUUGAUGAAAGAAGGGGAGCAAUGGAUGAGAGAUCCUGCCGAUUCAUGCAUGCUUGUAGCAACACUUAUUGCUACUGUGGUUUUUGCAGCAGCUUUUACCGUACCAGGAGGUAAUUCACAAGAUAAAGGGACUCCUGUUUUCCUUCUUUUUUUACUGUUUUCUUUUUUCAUUUUUCAAUUAAUCAUGUUUAAGCCUAAAGCUCCGCGUGUUAACUAAUUUCAUUUUCUUGGUGAUAAAUUACAAUAAUUAUUUUAAAACCUGAUUCGGAAUGAUGUGAAACAAGGCUUAAAUUACAUGUUAGGAAAGUAAAUCCAAGUUGAUCUAAAUUGAAAAAAAUAAUCAAAGUAUCAUUGUUUUGACAAAAAACAAUUCAAAAAAAGUCUUAAGCAUCGAGUUGAUUUAAAUUGAAAAAAAUAAUCAAAGUAUCAUUUUUUAUUGUGUUAGAUAAGAUCAAUCCUUCUUCUUCUUCUUUUUAACUCGAACUGGUCAAAGCAUCGAGUUGGUCGGAUCCCAUCUAUUAUCCCUCAAACACAUAAUAAGACAAAUUGUUCACUCUAGUUCAAAGCAUGCUAAACACAAGACAAGAUAAUUGUUUGUUUAGUCAUGUCCUAUCCACUUUAGUCCAAUUAAUAAUGUCCAACAUAUCAAACACUACCUAAUAGAACCUUGCCUAUAAAAUGCGCUUGCAAAAUUUGAACUAAAUUCAAUGAUUAAAUUAAAAAUUAUAUAUGUUUUUUUAGCAAGCUCAUUUGACUCGUCCUAAUUUGUUUUUAAGUCCAAACCCUAUAGAAAAAAAGAGUUAAGAAAUCGUGAAGCUCAACUUUCAACAAAUACAUAAUUAAAAGAUAAAAUUAAAAAGGAAAAUUCAUGAAAAAAAAGGGAUAAAAAAAGAUCAAUAUCAAAACAGGUUAACAUUUCAAAUUUGUGACCUGGAAUCAUGAUACCAGGACCACCCUAUCCAAAAAAUUAUGAAGCCUAACUUACAAUAAAUCCAAUUUUUAAGAAUGAAAUUGAUUUUAAAAAAAAAACACAAAACCAAAAAUUACAAUUAAAAGAAUGAAGAUCAAAUUUGACACAAAAAUAAAAUGACAGGACACCUUGUAAUUUUGGUAGACCAAUUCAAAUCCUGAGGAGAGGAAAAAGGAAAAAAAAAAAAAGGAGAAGAAAGAAAAGGUUGGUAGAGCCUCUCUCUUGACACACACCACACCAUUGGCAAGAGCUCGCUACGCUGCUUUAAAUAGAACUGUGGACGACAAUGUUCCAAAACUUGAAGAAGUUGCCCACGCUGCCAAAGCGUGGAGGCUUCACCCCACACAUUGUCAUGUGCAUUUCACACGCCAAUCAAAUUAUCUUGCUCAUCCUUUUCGGUUCCUAAAAGUAUUUUUUUUGUUUCAAAUUUGAUCCUUCAAGUCUCAAUUGUUUUAGAUCAAUAAAUUAAAUUUUAUCUUGCAAAAUCGAGAAUUAAACACAUAUAAAAUUUUUCCUCAACACCAUGGAAUCCCCAGCAUCUAGGCAAUAAAAAAAAAUCAAGUCAAAUCACAAGUAAACUCAAUUUAAAAGAAUCAAAUUAAAAAAAAAAAUUAAGGAAAGAAACAAGGGAGUUGAAUUUCUUCUUUGCUCGUGCAAUUCAGUCCUUGAUGUCUCCAAGAAAAAAGAGCAUUGUUGUUUGAUUAUCAAAUUAUGUGAUAAUUAAUGAAGUUGGUGCUAGAAUUAACUAAUUAUUAAAAAAAAAUUUGAGACAGAUGAGUUUGUUGCUUAAUUUUAACGUCGAAACAACGGAUGAGAAAAUAUUAGCAUAAAUCUGGAUAGGAUGAGGGUAGCAUUGGUUGAGUAAAAAGAAUAAGGACCAAUUGUAAACAUGCCAAAUAAAUGGAGGGCAUAUUUCUAUUUUUCCUGUCGUCAUUUCUUCGUUUCUUUCACUUCAGAGUUGGGAACUUCCUCUGUACUCAAAUAUUUUUCCAGAUCGAGGCAAGUCCUUCAGACAUCUUGAUCUUUAAAAUAUGCAGCCACUGCCUAAUUGGGCUAUCUUUUAUGAUCAUAUAAUUACUUUAGAGUUCUUCAUCUCACGCUGAAGGCCUUAUAUAGUUUAUAAACAAGGAAGCAAUGGAGAUUAGGAGUGGCAAUAAGAUUAAUGCAGCACCAGAAAGUACGCGGCCAAAAGAACGCCAACCUGAUAUCGAAGCCCCUGAAACUGUAGUCCCUCACUCCCUACUGGUAAUGGAACUAUUUAUAGAUAGUGAUCACAGAAUUAUCAAACACAUGGUGCUGCUAUAGUUCUUAAUACUGCUGUCAUUUUUUAUGCUGCACAUACUUUCUGCAUUCACUUUCCUGCUUUGGAUUAUGCUGCUAUGAUUUUCUAUGACCGUUCUGGGUUUUCGUUCCUGAAAAAGUGUUCUUCAACUGGUUGGAAGUCUUGCUUCUGCAGAUGCCAUGUUGUUUAUAAGACAGAGAGGGAACAAAAAAAAAAAAACACAGAGGGGAAAGCCAUAAGAGAAGCGCACAGGAGGAACAAGGAAGAACAGGGGAAGACGAAAACACAGAACAAAAGAGAGAGAAACGAGUGAACAGACACAAAAGGAGACUAAAAGAACACAGAGAGAAAGACGAACGAAAACCAGAAAAAAAGAAGAGAGGUGGAGGAGAGAACAAACGAACGAACAGAAGAAUACCAGAGGGAAAAAAAGAAAGACAGAGGACGCACGAGGAGAGAAAACCGGAGGCAGAGUGAAAAAGAGGAGAGGGACUGUAGAAUCUCCUUUAAAACUCCAGCAAGCGGGAGCAAGCUCAGACGAACAGAAAAAACAAGAGACAUGCGAACACGCGAGAACCAGAAGACAGGGACGAAAGAGAAGGAACAAACUCGGGAAGGAAGACCAGGGAGCAUAGAACAGAGGAAACCAGAGGAGAAAGCAAAUAGAAAACAGAAAGAAAGAGAGGAGAAUCGUUCAAAGCCAACGCUAUUCCCAGUCUUUCGCCUCCAGCAACGCCUGCAGAUCAGGUAAGUUUUUCGUUCCUGCUCUUCCAUUUAUAAUUAUAUAGUCACUGUGCAGCUUGAAUUUUAAUUAACCCUUCACUUCACUGUGCACGCAAGCGUUGCACGUGCCUCUGCUGGUGGGUUAAUAACCAAGUCGGGCGGCUGGGUCCAGCCCAGCCUGUUCAGGCUUAGCUAGACCCAGCCCCCCUAAAAAAAAAAAAAAAAAAAAGAAUUGUAGAAGCCGGGCUAGACCUGGAUCUUAGGCUAGAUCCAGUUAAAAAUAUAUAUAUACUUUGAUUUCAAUUUUAUUUAUUGUUUUAUUUAUUGAUGUUAGAAUCAAGAAUACAUACUGUUCGAGUUACAUAAUAUUUAUCAAUAUUAGAGUUAAAAAUAUUCAUAGGUGAAUAUUCACUAACGUUAGAAUUAGAAAUAUUAUAGCAAACCAUUAUAGCAUAAACCAACAAACUCUUAACAAUUUAAUUCAAAACUAGCAAUUCAGUCUAUCUUAGAUAGACCGUUUAAAGGGUGAUAAUAUAUUUUUUUUAGCGUAACUAAUCCCGUAUCAUAUAAUCUUUGUUGACCAGUUAGGGUUCGUAGUGACCAUAAUACUAGGUGACGACUUUUUAAACAAGAUCUUCCCCGUAAAAAAAACAAGAAGCUAGAAAUUUAUUCUUUUAUUUUAAAUUGUUUUUUAAGAUUGAUGUAAUGUUGGGUGUGACAUAUUGUAUAAAUCAUUAAUAAAAAAAAUCUUAUUACUAUAAAAAGUUUUUAAUCAACAUGAAAAUUCUAUUUUUUUUUAUCCUUAAGUUUUGUUAAGUAGAAUAAACUACAAAAAAUAUGAUUGAUUGUAAUAAUUUUAUUUUUAAAGACUAUAUUAAGUUUCUCAAUAAAUAUUUCAAUAUACUUCUAUUAAUACUUAAAAAAUAAUAUCAUUACUUCUUUUAAUAUUUUGAAAGAAUAAAAAGAGCAUGAGGAAAAAAAAAGGAUAAAGAAGAACGAAAAAAUAAAUUAUGGACGAGGAGACGAGCUAGGUUUGCGUGCUGGGAAUGUAAGUGUAAAGUCGCGAGUGUCUGGGUUUUCAAUAGUAACAAACUCCUCUAGUUUUAGUUUUAUAAAAUUACAUGAAUAUUACAUCCCACGUUGUUUUUCUUUAUAAUAUUUUAGGGUCAAUUAUAUUGUAGUCAUUGUAGUUUAUUGAAACUAAUUAAUUAGUCCUUGUACUGAAUAAUUAGUUCAUUGACAAACAUUGACCAUUUCAAUUUUUUAGUGUUUUUUUUUUGUUUUAGAAAAUAUCUGUUUUUAUCAACUCUUUCUACCUUUUUUGGAUCUCUGUUUCUUCUUUAUUUGUUUAUCUAUCAAAAAAACAAAAAAAAAUGUAUAAAAAAAUAAAAAUAAGAUUAAGCUAUAAAUGAAUUUAAGAAAAUAUAAAAAAUAAUAUAUAAUAUCUGAAAAAAUGUGUACUUUUCUUAUCAGUCCAUAGAUUGCGGAUGUGCCCAUUCUUUUCGAUCAUCUCCAAAGUAUUUUAUACAUAAAUAGGACUUUUCCUUUAUCAAUAUCAUAACCCUUUUUUUUAAUUAUCAAUAUUAGCUUGUUUAAAAGUAAAUAUUGUAUUUUAUUUUUUUAAUAAAAUAUAUUAAAAUAAUAUAUAUUUUAUUUUUAAAAAAAUUAACACAAAUGAUCAAAAUAAUAAAAAAAAUUAAAAAUUAUUAUUAUUAUUUUUAAAAAAUCAAAUUUAAAACAAAUAAUAUUCUAACCACGUACUGACAAACACAAUUGACGAAGACAAGUCUCAUUAUUGUUAUUAUUAUGUCAACUUGCCUAGGAACACUUUACAAGACACAAGUUGAGUUAGACGAGGUUUCUUUAGUUCCUUGAGGUCUUUUUUUAUUGAGGACAAACUACAAAUACAUCCUCCAUUUAUUUUUUGGGUUUCGAUUAUGUUGUUCUCCUCUUAAUUGCACCCAUUUUACCCUUAACCUACCCAAAGCAAUCCCAUUUCUUCCCUCUUCCCUUGUAUCACAUAUGAAACUCAUGCAUGUGAACUUUUCUUGUAGUGUCAACUUCAUUACUUCAUAACCUUGAAAGGAUUACUCUUGUGAUUAAAAAAGUUAACUCAUUUUCUUCUCUCAUUUUUUUGACGAUUUAGGUUUGAAUAUUAAGAUCAACAUCUAAAAUAAUUUAUUAAAUUUAUCUUAAUAUUGAUAUGAGAAAUAUAUAUCUAAAAUUUCAAUGAGAACAACUUAUUUUUGUUUUAUAACUCAUAAGCUGAUUUAAAACACCUUUUAUAAUCAAAUAAAAAAACCUUUAUGUUACAAUUAAAUUUAUUUGUAUAAAAAAUAUUUAUUUAUAUUCUAUAAUCAUAAAUUUUAUGAUUUUUAAUUUUAGGUGAUCGUGACAAAAAUAAAUAUGAUUCAAGGGAAGAAACGAUGAGCACUAUGCGGACUGGUUGAAGGUAGCAUUGGCUCAAUUAGAAGAAGAAGAAUCAAAUCAAAACCCGUCAGAUAAAUGGAGGGCACAUUUGUAGUUUGUCGCUUGACUAAAAUGAAGUUCAGCUGUUGAAAACAGAGUUCCUUUCGCCUCCUUUUCCAUGCUGUUUCAGAGCCAUUUCUUCGUGGCUUCCUCUCUGUAGCCAAACAGUUUCCCAGCUCGAGGUAAGUCCUUGAGAUAUGUUGAUCAAUAAGCUAUAUUGCUUUUGGGUCAUCUUUUCUGAUUCAUAGGUAGGCUAGGUCGCAAGGUUAACCCGAAUUUUUGAUUGUGUUAUGCCAAAUCAAUCCUUCUUCUUCUUCUUUUUUAACUUGAACCGGUCAAAGCAUUGAGUUGGUCGGAUCCCAUCUAUUAUCUUUCAAACACAUAAUAAGAUGAAUUGUUCAGUCUAGUUCAAAGCAUGCUACGCACAAGACAAGAUAAUUGUUUGUUUAGUCAUGUCCUAUCCACUCUAGUCCAAUUAAUAAUGUCGAACAUACCAAAUGCUACCUAAUAGAACCUAGCCUAUAAAAUGCGCUUGCAAAAUUUCAACUAGAUUCAAUGAUUGAAUUAAAAGUUAUAUAUAUAUUUUUAGCAAGCUCAUUUGACUCGUCCUAAUUUGUUUUUAAGUCCAAACCCUAUAGAAAAAAAGAGUUAAGAAAUCAUGAAGUUCAACUUUCAACAAAUACAUAAUUAAAAGAUAAAAUUAAAAAGGAAAAUUCAUGUAAAAAAUAAAACUAAGAAAACCGAUGUCAAAUUAGGUUAACCAUUCAAAUUUAUGACCUGGGUCAUGAUACCAGGACCACUCAAUCCAAAAAAUUAUGAAGCCCAACUUACAACAAAUCCAAUGUUUGAGGAUGAAAUUGAUUUUUUUUUUAAAAAAAAAACACAAAACAAAAAAUUACAAUUAAAAGAAUGAGGAUCAAAUUUGACACAAAAAUAAAAUAACAAGACACCUAAUAAUUUUGGUAGACCAAAAAUAAAAUCACAGCAUCCAUACUAAAUAGAUAUUAAAACUUGAACAUUGGAAAUAUAUGAGUGGCUUGGGGAUCAUGAACCCAAUGAUGAGUAAUCUAUUUGGCCUUUCAAUCUAAUAUUUUUAAAUAUUUGCCCUUCCUCAAACAAAGUUAUAAUGCUGUAAAUUAUGAUGGUAUUUAAAAAUGUAUUAAUGAUUAUUUUUUAAAAUAUUUUUUAUUUAAAAAUGUAUUAUAAUAAUAUAUAUUUUUUAUAUCAGCAUAUUAAAAUAAUCUAAAAAUAUAAAAAAAUACUUUUUUUCUUUAUUAUUUCUCGUAAAAUGCUCCAUAUAUAAUCCUUAUAAUGUGCAUAUCUCUAAUUAUAUUUCAGAAAAAUUGGAUUUCAAUAAAUAUCUUUCCUAGUAAUAGUAAUAACAACAACUAAAACAUAUUUGACAUUCACUAUUUUAAAAAAGUAGUUAUUAUGGACUGCAUUGUUUAUUUUGAAUAUUUUCAAUUUCAUCCUUGCCAUGUUAUUUUCUGUUUACAUUUCUUUUAAUUUGCCGUAUCAAGCAUGUUUUGAGUUUUGAGAGGAACUUAAUGAUCAAUUAGUCAAUUGGGGUUGAAAAUUAAAAUUAAAAGAAGAAGGACCAUAUUUAACAAAAAAAAAAACUUUUGUCUACCUAAUUUGAAGUACAUACGAAUCGUUUCAAAGCUUCAGUCCAACUAACAAUUCCAGAGCAUUCACACAAAAUAAAUUCAAGAGCUACUAUGUUCCAGUUGACAUUUCCUCGAAUUAUAACACGGGGUAAAUGAAAACUUUACCAUUUUCUGCCUUAUUCAACAGAUAUCCUACAAAUAAACUACACUGAGUUGCAUGCCUUGGGUUUGUCUUAGGUAAUAUCCAUUACUCGUUCUUACGAUUUGAAGGAGAUAUAUGAGAAAGAACUUGCUGAAUGCUGAAAGCAAAUUGUGAAGAAAUGAUUUUCUUCAUUACAUUGCUAUAAAGAACACAUUUUCAGACAUUAUUUAUACUACUGAGAUGAGAUAAGAUUGACCAUCUAAAUCUUCCCUUUGAAAUGUAGAAACAAUGCAAAGUUGAGAUUUAUUUAUACCAAAGGCUUCCAAACUCUGAUUCUGAAUGGCUUAAGAAGAUUGUCCGCAACAAAGUAGUAGCAAGUGUUGAUGCUCUUCUCAAUGAAAUAAAACCAUGCUCGCCGCCAGUCUGGGUUUAUGUACAAAACUGCAGCUAUUCCCAACAGCACCAUGAUGUACGUCACAACAAAGCUCACACAGAAAACUUGUGCAUCAAUGAUGACGCUACUCUCUUCUUUCUCAUCAGUAGAAGGCCCAGGUGGUGGUGGUGGUACUUCUUUGGUGCAAUUGUUAAGCAGUGGUGGUCCACAAAGUAAGGGAUUUCCCUCGUAGCUGCUCUUAUUGAAUGUUGAGAAUUGUGCAACCAUCUCAGGAGUCUUACCAGACAGGUUAUUGUUGGCUACACUAAAAUAGGCAAGAAAAUGCAAUUGUACAAGUUGAGGAGGGAUUUCCCCAUUCAAGCUGUUAUUGGAAAGGUCCAUGCUCUCAACUUCACUCAAAUUUGAAAGAGUUUGUGGGAUUGGGCCUAUUAAAUGAUUGUUGGACAGGUUCAAUACACGAAUGUGGUUGAGAUUCCCAAUUUCAGGAGGAAUCGCACCUGACAAACUGUUGCAGGAGAGAUCCAAUCCGGUCAUGUAGUACAAAAUACUUGGCGGAUAAGAAUAAGACAGACUCUUUGUUGCAAUAACCAAUGGUUCUCGAAGAGAAUACAUAAAGAUAUGCUUCGCUAGAGAUGAACCAAAUACUGCUUUUAAAUCUUAGGCAAGGUAGAAUAUGACCAGAAAAAUUAUUAUGAGAAAGAUCAAUGAAGCUUAAUUUGUUCAACUUGCACAAUUGCGUGGGUAUACUGCCAUCAAGAUUAUUAUAACCCAAGAGAAGAAAGCUCAGUUGGGAAAACUCACCAAUCCAUUUUGGAAUGCUACCAGUCAAAUGAUUAUGGCUAAGAUCCAACGUUAUUAGCUCAAAGGAUUUCUGAAAUGCAUGUUCUAGGGAUCCUUGUAGCAUAUUUCGUGACAGAUAAACAUGCAGGAGGUUUGAAGAGUUAAAGAAAGAUGGUAAGGUUCCAGAGAUGUUGUUAUUUGAGAGGUCCAAAACUUGAAGAUACAACAGAAAGUCAAAUGAAGAGGGAACGCGACCACUGAAGUGGUUAUCAGACAUGGAUAAAAAUGUUAAAUUUGGAAAAUAUGAUCCUAUUUCUCUAGGAAUGUGGCUUUCGAAGUUAUUGUUAGAAAUAUCUAAUUCAGACAAAUUCUGAUGAGGAUGAAUUGGCAAUUGAAAAGUCCCUGAAAGAGAAUUGUUGACCAAAUGGAGUUCAUUUAGGUUUGUGUUGUUCUCUAACAACCAAAUAGGAAACCCUCCCCUCAAUUUCAGGUUAGAAAAAUCAAUUACUUGGAGGCUGUAUUGAUGGAGGAGGAAUUUGGGAAAGGAAAAUGCUCCACCAUAUCCAUUGCCAGAUAAAUAAGACCUCUAAUUGGAACUUUGGGGCCAAAUUAUGCUCCUCUAAUUCUUCAACAUAUAUUUCGUUAUUGCUACCAUCGAAAUACUUGAGUUGUGAAUGGUUGAGAAAUGAGCUCAAUGAGACGGGGAUCUGAAAGUGGUUGUCUAAAAGUGAUAACUCUCGAAUGGAUGUGAGACUUGUAAGAGGAGAGAAGGAAAUGUCUCCCAUAAAGUUAUUGGAAGACAAAUUUAAUUGUUGAAGGGAUGUCAAAUUUGCCAAACACCAAGGCAAAGCACCACUGAGAUCAUUCCCGUUGAUAUCUAGAUUUUGAAGAUGCUUUAACUGACAUAGGCCUGAGAAUUUAUUGAUUCAUAAAAAUUUUAGUUAGAGAAGAAGCAGAACGCCAAAGGAGGGGAAAGGUGGUCAGACUUACCUUGGGCUUUAGGGAUGGAGCCAUUGAGUCGACAACCAUACAAUCUUAAACUCUUUAGAGUAGUAAUAUUCCCGACUGUUUGUAGAAAGCUAUUAUCGAUAGUGGAGGAACUCAAAUCCAACUCUUCUAAAUUCUUGAGAGAAGCCAAGUCUACAAUAAUCAAACCCACAAGAAAUUAUGCUCGGUAUUCAAGAGCCGGAUAAUGAUAAGGAAACAAAGAUGAUGAAACCAACAAGAAGCUCCAUUAUAAUGAUAAGGAAACAAGAUGAUGAAACCAACAAGAAGCAGAACGCCCAAGGAGGGUAAAGGUGGUUAGACUUACCUUGGGCUUUAGGGGUGGAGCCACUGAGUCGACAUCCAUCCAAUCUUAAACUCUUUAGAGUAGUAAUCUUCCCGACUGUUUGCAGAAAGCUAUUAUCGACAGUGGAGGAACUCAAAUCCAACUCUUCUAAAUUCUUGAAAGAAGCCAAGUCUACAAUAAUCAAACCCACAAGAAAUUAUGCUCGGUAUUCAAGAGCCGGAUAAUGAUAAGGAAACAAGAUGAUGAAACCAAUAAGAAGCUCCAUUAUAAUGUCCCCACUACAAUCAAUUAAAUUCCUAUACUAGGCAAAUAUGAUUUAAAGCACGUUUACAAAGAAAAAAAGAACAAUUAACAGAUAUUCAGGUUCGCUUUUAGGCAUCAAUACCACAAAUUACCUUUAUCUAAUGUUGUUCCGAAACUUCCUUGAAGAUUAUUCUCAUCCAAAGAAAGGGUCUUGAGGUUUGGGAAUUUCGUCAACGAUUGCAGCAAUGCAAAUGGAAGAGCUCUUCCAUUUAAGGUGUUAUUAGAUAAUGAAAUGAGGCUUACAUUUCCAAAACCUCUAGUAUCUACAGGGGACAGCAGAAGUAAAACAAAUUUUAAAACCUUCUGAGCUUUUAUUCUUGAGCAAAAUCAUCCGCGAAAAUACAAUUCAAUUAAUGAGAUUUUAGGUUGAUUAAGCGGUAAAGCUACCAUCAAUCAGUGUGGAAAGCAAUCAAUACCUUUGGAUAACAUAAAUUUGUCAAUCUUGUUUCCCGCUAGAUCCAGGCUCUCUAAGUUGAUCAAAGCAUCCAGCUCUAGGUUGUCGAAAAACAGAAAUUUAAUAUUACAUCACAGCAAAAAUCACAGAUUGGUUUCUAGGAAUCGAAAAAGGUGAGGUUACCAGUCACAUUGAAUGAUCCUUUCAGUUGGUUGUACCCUAUAUCCAGGGAUUUGAGAGAUGAAAGACCCUUGAGGGAUGAUAAGGUACUGUCAUUGAAGCGAUUACCAUUCAAAACAAGGUAUUCCAGAUUUCUUAACCUCAGUAAGCCGUCACCAGUACCUAUAAAAAUACAAUAAGCUUUCAUGUAACCUGAAAGGAUAAUGGAGUACUUAUGUGUGAAAACAAAUGCUCAAUCAACUCACAACUCUUUCAUACCAUGAAUGGAUUUAAAGCUUUCAAUUUCAUUGCCACCAAAAUCCAACGACUGCAAGCUUGUUAGAUUAUUCAGUUCUGGCCAAAUAUAAUUGUAUCAAGUACAACAAUUAAAAAAAGGGCAGUAAUUAACAUUGUUUUAUUUGGGAAAGAAAAGGAGAGAAGUGAUCAAGCUUAAUUACCAUCAACACUAAUUGCUCCUUUGAGUUGGUUACCAGAUAGAGACAGGGUUCUCAAAGAGGAAAGCCCACCAAGGGAUGAAAGGAUGCUGUUGUCGAAUUUGUUUCCGCCUAAAUCGAGAUCCUCCAAGCUGUCAAGUCUUUCAAAACCUGCAUGGGCAUUUCAAUCAGUAGCUUGAAAAAUAUAGAAUCUAUCCUGUUGAAAAACCUGCAUGGGCACGCAAACAAGAGAUAAACCUUCAUUCUCAACACAGCCAACUAUAAAAUUUCCAGUACCUAUAAAAAUGCCAUAAGCUUUCAUGUAACCUGAAAGGAUAAUGGAGUACUUAUGUGUGAAAACAAAUGCUCAAUCAACUCACAACUCUUUCAUACCAUGAAUGGAUUUAAAGCUUUCAAUUUCAUUGCCACCAAAAUCCAACGACCACAAGCUUGUUAGAUUAUUCAGUUCUGGCCAAAUAUAAUUGUACCAAGUACAACAAUUAAAAAAAGGGCAGUAAUUAACAUGGUUUUAUUUGAGAAAGAAAAGGAGAGAAGUGAUCAAGCUUAAUUACCAUCAACACUAAUUGCUCCUUUGAGUUGGUUACGAUAUAGAGACAGGGUUCUUAAAGAGGAAAGCCCACCAAGGGAUGAAAGGAUGCUGUUGUCGAAUUUGUUUUCUUCUAAAUAGAGCUCCACCAAGCUGUCAAGUCCGGAUAGUCUUUCAAAACCUGCAUGGGCAUUUCAAUCAGUAGCUUGAAAAAUAUUUUCUUUUUUUUACCUAUUGAAAAAAGUAGCACGCAAACAAGAGAUAAACCUUCAUUCUCAACACAGCCAACUAUAAAAUUUCCCCUUAAAUAAAGAGAUUGCAGUUCUUGGAAGGGACGAAACAAAGAGACAUUUAGGUACAAAUCUCCCAAUCCCUCUUCCCUUAUGCCUCCAAGACUAAGUUCGACAACUCGUCCUGUAGUGAAAUUGCAGUAAACGCGUUCCCAAGAACAACAGUCGGCUACUUUCCCCCAAGAUUGAAGGAAGAUUGAGUAAUUAUUAAAGGAGCUUUGAAUCCGCAAGAGAGCACUUCUCUCUUCGUCUAAACAACCGUGACAUGACCACCAGCUUUGUGACAAAACCAUAGCAUAAAUCAUCAGUGUCCCUGCUAAAGAAGAGAACCUGUUUAAACCCAUUUGGACUCCUCGAUGAAAUUAUGUAUCGAAAAACAACGGUCAGAGGCUCUUUAUAAAUAAGAUCGUUGGACUGCAAUUUGCAAUAUCACAAUCAAAUGUCAUAAUUUUCCACUGGCCAUAGACAAAGUCCUCUCUUUCGGCUUAUUUUCCAAAUUCAUAUUCUUCGUGGAAAGUGCUAGGCUGUUAGCGUAUCCUCCGUAACUUGGGACUAGGCUGGUAUGAGGUUGGAAGGAUUUUAAACAAGUUGCUAUUUUAACUUUAAUUUAAUAAUAAAUAAUAAAUAUGAUGGGUACAAAGGGGAGAAUAUACAUGAUAAACUUUUUUUGUUUUCUACAAUAAUAGCGACAUAGACAAAUGAAAUGGUCAUCGCAUGCAAUGUCUUCCCUACGGAAAAAACAGUGCCAUCAGUGUCAGUCUUGUUAAUGGUAGUAGAAAAUUCAAAGAGUCUUGCAGUGAAGAUUUUUAAUCAUUUAGGUUUCACUAAUCGUUUUUUUAAUCAUAUAUAUAUAUGUAUAUAUAUAUAUAUUUUAUAAACGUUCAGUCUGAAGUAGGUAUUAAAAUAAUAUGAUGUUGAGCCAAAUUGAAUUUAAUAAUAAUAAUAUAAUCACCUAGUUAAUAUUGUAUUUUAAUAUAAAAUGCAUGUUUGAUAUUAUAAUGUAAAUGUUUUUUUACUUAAAAAUAUAUUAAAAUAUUUUUUUAAUUUUUUAUAUUUUCAAUAUUAACUUAUCAAAUAAUAAAAAAACAAUAAAAAUUAAAUUAAUAUAAUUUUGAGUCAAAUUGAAUUUAAUAAUAAUGGUAUAAUUAGUUAAUUAAUAUUGUAUUUUAAUAUAAAAUAAAUAUAUGAUAUUAUGGUGUAUAUAUUUUUUACUUGAAAAUAUAUUAAAAUAUUUUUUAAAAUUUUUAAUAUUAACUUAUCAAAUAGAAUUUUUUUUUUUCAUUUUAACAAGACUGCAACUUUGUCCUUGCAGCGAAGCUCUCCAGUUUGCAAUAUCAUAAUCAUAGUUUUAAAACCCGUACCGGCCCUGCGGGUUGACCCGGGACCCGGCCGACCCGGGCAUGAGACCGGUCCGGGUGGAGGCCAAAACCCGGUUGGGAAUUGGCCCGGCCCUACCUGGUCGACCCGGGACCCAUCAAGACCCGGCCUCAAACUCGUUGAUUUUUAUUUUUUAUUUUUUAUUUUUACUAAAACGACGUCGUUUUGAUUUUUUCAAAGAAAAAAUUUGACCCGGCUGACCCGGUCAAAACCCGGAACCCGGGCCUUGGACCGGACCGACCACCGAGCCGGGUCUUAAAACUAUGAUCAGUCUUAAAACUAUGAUCACAAUCAAUUGUCAUAAUUUUCCAUAGACAAAGUCCUCUCUUUACAGCCCCACCGCGCGACUUGGGACUAGGCUGGUAUGAGGUUGGAAGGAUUUUAAAUAAACAGGGGAAAUUAAAUUCCGGGUGAUUUAACUAGUUGUUGAGCUAGUUAAAAUUCACUGAUAAUUUUUUUUUAAUUAAAAUAAUAUAAUUUUAAUUUAUAAAAAAAAUUAAAGCUGAUUUAGGUCGAUCACAGGCGGGGUUGGAAAUCUGUGAUUGCCUCAACACACUUGAUGGGGAAAAUUGGCCCCCGUUAAUUUCUUUAACAGCUUAAGGAAACCCUCAUAGUUUAGUGUUAGUUUAGUUUAGCCCUUCAUGUUUAUAAUAAAUAGCCCUUCUUGAAAUUGUCCUCUUUUCUAGAUUUAUUAUAUUCCAAAAAUUAAAAAUCCAUAUCAUUUGGCGAAAAUUACAACCCAUUUAUGGCUUAUUUAUGUUUUUAAAUAAUUUUAGAAUUGCAGAAAUUUAGUAUGGAUCUUGCUAAGAUUUUUACCCCUCUAUGAUUUUAUUUUCUUACCAAUUUAAACCCAUAUAAUGGCAAACUAGAAAUAGAUCAUAGAUCUAGGGGAAAAGUUUUAAUAAGUUUUUCAAAAAGGGUAUAUAAAUAAAAUUAUUUAUGUGAUAAUUAAAGUUCUCUCAAUCAAAAAAUUUAUAGAGGGUGGUGACUAUCCCCUCCAAUUCUCCAAACUCACAUUGAACCCACUUAACCCUUGCUUUAUCCAUCAACACCUUUAAAUUUUUUUUUCAAAGACUAUAUCGUAUCUUAUAAAUUGGGUUGUUUUCAAGAGAAACGCACAAAUAAUUCAUUUAAGUUUUAUAUCAGAAUUUUUGUGACCAAUUCCUCUUCUUAUGGCUGGAUAUGAAUGAGUUUGUAUUGUGAUACGAAAACCCGGAACAUAUAGAAAAAAAUAAUGUUUUACGGUAUAUUAUUUUGCGUGUGAAUAUUUUUUUACUUUUUUUGUUUUCUACAAUAAUAGAGAAAUAGACAAAUUAAAUGGUCUUUCUAUGCAAUGUCUUCCCUACGGCAAAGAUAGUGCGCCAUCAAUAUCAGUCUUGUUAGUGGUCGUAGAAAAUGACAUCUCAACAACACAUAAACAAGUUGCUAUUUUAACUUUAAUUUAAUAAUAAAUAAUAAAUAUGAUGGGUACAAAGGGGAGAUAAACUUUUUUUGUUUUCCACAGUAAUAGAGACAUAGACAAAUGAAGUGGUCAUCGCAUGCAAUGUCUUCCCUACGGCAAAAACAGUGCCAUCAGUGUCAGUCUUGUUAAUGGUAGUAGAAAAUUCAAAGAGUCUAGCUACGAGUGAAAUCCUUCGCUUUGUGGACCAAAAGCUGCAGUGAAGAUUUUUAAAAUUUUAGAUGUGUUUAUUUUUUAUAAAGUGAUUUUUGAGAAAUUAUGUUUUUAAAAUUUUUUGUAUUUGUUUGUUAUUAAAAAAGAUGGUCAAUAAAAAAUACUUUCUGGUCAAUAAAAAAUACUUUCCACUUAAAAAAUUUAACUUGAUUUCUAUCAAAGUGUUUUUCUUUUAUUUUGAGUGGAAAACACUUUUUGAAAAUUGUGAAAAAAUUAGAAAUGUCAUAUUAUUUGCUGAUUAUAUCAAAUUUGGUCCUCAAACUUUUAAUUGCUAUAUAUAUUUUGUUUUGAAUAUUUGUUUUUUAAUUUCAUCCCUUAGAAUUUAAUUUUUAUAUUAACUUUGGUCCUCAUUUUUAUAAUUGCUAUUUGAUUUUCCCUUAUCAUUUUUUAAUUAAGGUUUUUCAUCUAUCAAAUUUGGUCCUCAUUCUUUUGAUUGUUACUUAUUCUAUUUGAAAUAAUUUAUGAAAUGUUAAUUAUUAUUAUUUUAAUUUCUUCAUCUUUCAAUUUUUUUUAUUUUUUAGAUUUGAUCUCUAUUAUUUUGAUUAUUAUUUAUUUUAUUUGAGAUAAUUUAUGAAAUUAUAUUUUUUUCAAUUUUAUUCUCAUUCAACUUUUUAAUUUGUAAGAUUUGUUUCUCGUUAUUUUAAUAAAUUUGAGAAAAAUAAAAUAUUAAUAAGUUAUUUUCCAACUCAUUUUCCAUGACAUAACCAAACACUGGAAAGUGUUUUCCAACUUAUUUUUCAUCACACUACCAAAUAUCAGGAAAUACUUUCUCGGAAUUCACUUUUCCGAAAUUCUCUUUCCUUGGAAUUCACUUUCCAAAAAAAAAAAUUACUUUCCAGCAAAUAAACGAUGCCUUUUUAUAUAUAUAUAUAUAUAUAUAUAUAAAAGUUCAGUCUAAAAUAGGUAUUAAAAUAAUAUGAUGUUGAGCCAAAUUGAAUUUAAUAAUAAUAAUAAUAAUAAUAAUAUAAUCAGCUAGUUAAUAUUGUAUUUUUAUAUAAAAUGCAUGUUUGAGAUUGUGAUGUAAAUUUUGUUUACUUAAAAAUAUAUUAAAAUAUUUUUUAAAAUUUUUAUAUUUUCAAUAUUAACUUAUCAAAUAAUAAAAAAACAAUAAAUUUAAAAUAAUAUGAUCUUAAGUCAAAUUGAAUUUAAUAAUAAUGUUAUAAUUAGUUAAUUAAUAUUGUAUUUUAAUAUAAAAUGAAUGUAUGAUAUUAUGGUUUAAAUAUUUUUUACUUGAAAAUAUAUUAAAAUUUUAAUUUAACAAGACUGGAACUUUGUCCUUGCAGCGAAGCUUUGUUUUAUUUUUUGUUUUAUAUAUAUAUUUUUUAUAUAUAACGUUUCUACCAAGCAAAGUUGAGAACGAAUCAUUUCUUUUCAUUUAUGCUUUGUAGAUUAGUUCCUUUACUAGUCAUAUAGUCCCAUUAUAUUAGUGUUAGAGGACGGUUUGAAACAUUAGUUUAAAAAAACAUUGAUGGUGGCUAUUAAGAGCAUGUUUAUUUUUUAUUUUUAAAAAAAAUAUAUUUUUUAUUUUAAUUUAUUUUUUAUAAUUUUAAAUCAUUUUGAUAUAUUAAUACUAAAAAUAAAUUAAAAAAAAAAAAAAAUAUUAUUUUAAUAUAUUUUUUAAAUAAAAAAUAAACUCGUGGAAUUCAAUUCCACGCUAUCGACCCUGUGGUUUGGAUGGAAUUGGUCGUCGUCAUCACAUGAUUUUCCAUAUGUAAUAAAGUCUUCUUUAUUUGGCUUUUUGUCCCAUUGAUUCUUCGAGGAAAUUCCCAAGUUUUUGCUUUACAUCAAUAUUAAUUCAAUGGCUGGUAACACACAUGACUCUCGUCUCUCUGUUACGUUCUUUUUACUUUUCGCUGUGGUUUUUGAACCCUAUCCAAGGUUGAUCUGCAGCAAAUCUUGGAUUGUGGGUCAGGUGAAACUUGAGAAGGUUAUUUAUCAAGAAAUUCUCAAAUCCUACCAAUGUCAAUUCUAACUUAGCAACAUCGUCUUUUUAUUUGUUAAUAAUAUAUUUAAAUAAAAAUCAAGAUUCAAAUUAAUUUAAAUAAUAUAGUUAAAUGAAAAGAAGAUUUCAAUUAAUUUCACUCUUUCUUUCAUUUUUUUUCUUUCAAAACCUUCACCAUGCUAAUCCUUCUGAUCAGCUAUCAUGUCUCCCUUCUUUGAUAUUGUUAUCAAAUAGCAAAAGUGCAAAUAAUCAUGCUCUUGGAGAUCAAAAUUAUCCUACAAAUCAACAAUUCCAUUCAUAUAGGAUUUUAAAUUUUCUUGUUUCAAAGUUCUUGUUCAAGAUUUUAAUGAUAAAAUUGAUAAAAAAAGUGUAUAUUUGAUAUGCUAGUGACAAAAUGUAUAGGCAAUUUUUAUAAUAUAUAUGUUGGUUCUUUAAAAAAAAAAAAACAAUUAUAAUAAUCUAGAAGAUGAAAUCCCAAUCCAGUUGUGCAAGUUAGAGGAAUUGAGUUUGAUUGAUCUGUCUCAUAAUAAUUUAUAUGGUCAUAUUCUUCCAUGCCUAAAUUCUAGCAGUAAUUGGCAGAGGGAACAUGAAGCAAUUUCAAAUCCUUCUGGAAUCGCUUCAGCACUUGAAUCGGUAAUCCUAUCCCCAUGGAAGACCCUUCUCUUCAGACAUCUUUAGAUUUUAAAACAAAGAGUAUAUGCUACUCCUUCAAGGAAAUGAUUCUCACUUACCUCUCUGGUAUAGACCUCUCCUGCAAUAAUUUUAUAGGCGAGAUUCCUUUUCAACUUGGAUACCUUAGCAAUAUCGAGGUGUUGAAUAUGUCCUUUAACAGUUUAGCUGGUCCAAUCCCACUGACAUUUUCAAACCUGAAGGAAAUUGAAAGCAUGGAUCUUUCCUACAACAAUUUGAAUGGGAAAUUCCUCGUUAGCUACUUGACUUGCAUUUUCUAUCUUUUUUUAGUGUAGCAUACAAUAACUUAUCUGGCAGAACUCUAGAUAUGGUUCCACAAUUCUCAACAUUCAACGAGUCUAGCUACGAGGGAAAUCCUUUGCUUUGUGGACCAUCACUCCCCAAAAGUUGCACUGAAGUGGUACCACCAUCAGCGUUGCCAAGGACUCAGACUGAUGAAAAAGAAGACAAUGGCUUCAUAGAAAUAGAGGCUUUCUAUGUGAUAUUCUCAGUGUCAUAUAUCCUGGUCUUGUUGGUAAUAGGUGCAGUUCUGUAUAUAAACCCACGUUGACGACGAGCAUGGUUUUACUUCAUAGAGGAGAGAAUCAAUAAAUGCUAUUACUUUCUGGUAGACAAUCUACCUGUGUCAGCCAGGUUCAAAGGAUUUCAGCCUUGUGUGCAAAAUGGUAUUGGCUUUAUGUGUAUUCUGUUUGGUGUCUACAUUUCAAAAUCAUGAUUGAUCAAUAAAUUAGUCUUAUAAUAAACGGAGUAAAUAAAUGUUCAAAACACUUUGCUCUUGCAGGAAAGCUCUGCUUUUUUUUUUUCUAACGUUUCUACCAAGCAAAGUUGCAACAGAACGAAUCAUUUCUUUUGAUUAUGCUUUGUAGAUUAGUUCCUUUACUAGUCAUAUAGUCCCCACCUUCCUUGGAAUUGAGGAUUUGUUAAAACUACUUACUUUCUGAUGUUUGAAAGAGAAACGAGUUCCAGGACCCAAAGGCAUGGACAAGACAACAAUGGUUGAUUUUUGUUGUGUGCUUUGAUGAACCUUGUGGGGCCCAGUAGCAACUAGCAGCUAUAUUUGCAAGAAAAAUAGAGUUUUGUACCUUUCCAAUGGUGCAAUUCUCUUGUGCAAUUUGGAGAUUUCUGUUGCAGAUGUGUGGAAUUUGCAGACAUGUGGGUGAUUGACAAGCUGAAAUUCAUGGGACAAUGUUAAAUCUCCAGAAUAUUUUGCUUCCGAGACUUAUUUGCCAGUUGUUAUUUUGAAAUUUAUGCUAGCUUAUAUUUCUUCAAUUUAUUAUUUGAAUCAAAACAGAAUAGAUUCCAUCUGUUUUUUGAAUUCAAAUUAAACAUAAUGCUACCUAUAUAUACCACUAGAAGAAUGUGUGCAAUUCUCAUCAUUUUCCUGAUUUUAAAACCUAUAGCUAUUAUACAAUUAUCUCUGCCACUCAACUGUAUAUGGAGCUAGGAAUGAAAGAAACAGCAGAGUUCAUGAUGAGACUAGCUCCAGAAGCUCAGGUCAAAUCGUGGGAGAUUCAAAUGGUUAAAUACACACUUCAAGAUUUCAGAUUUCCACUCUUAUGAAGAAAGCUUGUUCUAAGUACUCUAAACAUGAUCUAGUCAGCAGGAACUAAUCAGUUAUUUGUUUAUUUAUUUAUAGUUUUUGUGAAUUUUCUUAGUAGGUUAUUUUUCAUAGAUGUGAAACCUAGUUUGAUCUGAUAUAUUCACUUUGAAGUCCCAUUAUAUUAGUGUUAGAUUUGUUAUUGGACGGUAUGAAACAUUAGUUUAGUCAAACUUGAACCCAUUCAUAAUAAAAAUUUUAAAAAGCAUUCACCGUGGCUAUCAAGAGCAUGUUUGUUUUUGCAUUUAAAAAAAAUAACAGAGAGACCAAUAUGCCAACAAGCUAUAAUAAUAGAACCCACGGGUUGAUUGAUCAAACCCUGACACCAAGAUCUGGGGACUGCUGAAGAACACCUUGAAAAAUCUUGCAUUUUACUCUUACUUUUUACAAGAGACAGAUGAACUGGUCAUCGCGCGCGACGUGUUCCCUACGGCCGAGAAUAAUGCAGUGGCUGUCAGUGUUGUUAGUGGUUGUGGAAAAUUACACGCUAUGACGAAGAAGAAGGUUGCUGCAUUCAUUCAUCGCUUGACCUGAUGAUGGCCCGAUGGGUCUUUCCAUGCAAUGUCUUCCCUACGGCAAAGACAGUGCGCCAUCAAUAUCAGUCUUGUUAGUGGUCGUAGAAAAUGACAUCUCAACCACACAUAAACAAGUUGCUAUUUUAACUUUAAUUUAAUAAUAAAUAAUAAAUAUGAUGGGUACAAAGGGGAGAAUAUACAUGAUAAACUUUUUUUGUUUUCCACAAUAAUAGAGACAUAGACAAAUGAAAUGGUCAUCGCAUGCAAUGUCUUUCCUACGGCAAAAACAGUGCCAUCAGUGUCAGUCUUGUUAAUGGUAGUAGAAAAUUCAAAGAGUGAGUGAAAUCCUUUGCUUUGUGGACCAAAAGCUGCAGUGAAGAUUUUUAAUCAUUUAGGUUUCACUGAUCAUUUCUUUAAUUUUGCUGUGUUUGUUUUUUAUAAAGUAAUUUUUGAAAAAUUAUUUUUUGAAAUUUUUUAUAUUUUUUGUUAUUAGAAAAAUUGGUCAAUAAAAAAUAUUUUCUGGUCAACAAAAAAUACUUUUCAGUCAAAGAAAAAUUUGACUUGGUUUUCAGGAAAGUGUUUUCCUUUUAUUUUGGGUGAAAAACACUUUCCGAAAAUUAUAAAAAAUUUUAAAAUAUCAUAUUAUUUGCUGAUUAUAUCAAAUUUGGUCAUCAAACUUUUGAUUGCUAUAUAUAUUUUGUUUUGAAUAUUUAUUUUUCAAUUUCAUCCCUUAGAAUUUAAUUUUUAUAUUAACUUUGGUCCUCAGUUUUAUAAUUGCUAUUUGAUUUUUCCUUAUCAUUUUUUAAUUAAAGUUUUUUAUCUAUCAAAUUUGGUACUCAUUCUUUUGAUUGUUACUUAUUUUAUUUGAAAUAAUUUAUGAAAUGUUAAUUAUUAUUAUUUUAAUUUCUUUAUCUUCCCAUUUUUUUUAUUUUUUAGAUUUGAUCUCUAUUAUUUUGAUUAUUAUUUAUUUUAUUUGAGAUAAUUUUUGAAAUUAUAUUUUUUUCAAUUUUAUUCUCAUUCAACUUUUUAUUUUGUAAGAUUUGUUCCUCGUUAUUUUAAUAAAUUUGAGAAAAAUAAAAUAUUAAUAAGUUAUUUUCCAGUUCAUUUUCCAUGACAAAACCAAAUACUGGAAAAUGUUUUCCAAUUUAUUUUCCAUCACACUACCAAACAUCGGGAAAUACUUUUUUGGAAUUCACUUUCCCGGAAUUCUCUUUCUUUGAAAUUCACUUUCCAAAAAAAAACUACUUUCCAGCAAAUAAACAAUGCUUAUAUAUAUAUGCUUAGAUUUCCUCAGCUUUAUAUAAGCAAAUAAACAAUGCUUAGAUUUCCUCAGCUGACUUCGAGUCAAGGCGUAGAGCUUCAAUUCCACGCAAUGGAUCCUGUGGUUUGGAUGGAAUUGGUCGUCGUCAUCACAUGAUUUUCCAUAUGUAAUAAAGUCUUCUUUAUUUGGCUUAUUGUCCCAUUGAUUCUUCGAGGAAAUUCCCAAGUUUUUGCUUUACAUCAAUAUUAAUUCAAUGGCUGGUAACACACAUGACUCUCGUCUCUCUGUUACGUUCCUUUUACUUUUCAACAUGGUUUUUAAACCCUAUCCAAGGAGCUUAUAUGACCUAACAACCACCAUUUUGAUGCCUAAUUGAUUUACAUGAUCUACAUUUAAAAGGUUAAAAAAACCAAAUCAUCUAAACCAUGCAAGUCUUGGCUUAGAGCCAGUGACUUUAUAAACAAAAUAUGAAACACAGAAAAACCAAAUCAAAGGAUGCCAAGAUGAUUUUCAUUCUCAAAUUGUGUCAUGAUGGGGCUUAGUUCUAGGAAUAAUACUGUCACUCCAUCUAUUGGACAUUGCGAGCAUCCUCUGAGAAUUAAGUUGCAUCGGUUUUCUUCUGUUAUAUGCUCCAGGUAUUGAUGCUCGUAGACGGAGAAAACAUAUGCAUAAAAAGCAUAGCUCAUGUUCUGCCAAAAUGUCAUAUAAGAUGAUUUUCAUUCUCAAAUUUCAACCUUGCCAUAUUAUUUUCUGUAUCAAGCUUGUUUUGAGUUUUGAGAGGAACUUAAUGAUCAGUCUUGUUACUGGUUGUGGAAAAUUACACGUUAUGACAAAGAAGAAGGUUGCUGCAUUCAUUCAUCGCUUGACCUGAUGAUGACUCGAUGGGCCACCUGCUAUGACAAAAGAAAAGAAAGCUGUUAACCGUGGUCAAAGCAUGUUUUUAGUUUUGAGAGGAACUUAAUGAUCAAUUAGUCAAUUGGGGCUGAAAAUUAAAAUUGAAAGAACAAGGACCAUAUUUAACAAAAAAAACUUUAGUCUACCUAAUUUGAAGUACAUACGAAUCGUUUCAAAGCUUCAGUCUAACUAACAAUUCCAGAGCAUUCACACAAAAUAAAUUCCAGAGCUACUCUGUUCAAGUUGACAUCUCCAGUUAACACGGGCUAAAUGAAAACUUUACCAUUUUCUGCCAUAUUCAACAGAUACUCCUACAAAUAACUUGCUGAAUAAACUUACGAUUUGAAGGAAGAUAUAUGAGAAAAAACUUGCUGAAUGCUGAAAGCAAAAUUGUGGAAUAAUGAUUUUUUUUCAUUACAUUGCUAUAAAGAACACAGCUUUUCAGACAUUAUUUUUACUACUGAGAUGAGAUAAGAUUGACCAUCUAACUCUUCCCUUUGAGAUGUAGAAACAAUGCAAAGUUGAGAUUUAUUUAUACCAAAGGCUUCCAAACUCUGAUCGUGAAUGGCUUAAGAAGAUUGUCCGCAACAAAGUAGUAGCAAGUGUUGAUGCUCUUCUCAAUGAAAUAAAACCAUGCUCGCCGCCAGUCUGGGUUUAUGUACAAAACUGCAGCUAUUCCCAACAACACAUGAUGUACGUCACAACAAAGCUCACACAGAAAACUUGUGCAUCAAUGAUGACACUACUCUCUUCUUUCUCAUCAGUAGAAGGCCCAGGUGGUGGUGGUGGUGGUACUUCUUUGGUACAGCUGUUAAGCAGUGGUGGUCCACAAAGUAAGGGAUUUCCCUCGUAGCUACUCUUAUUGAAUGUUGAGAAUUGUGCAACCAUCUCAGGAGCCUUACCAGACAGGUUAUUGUUGGCUACACUAAAAUAGGCAAGAAAAUGCAAUUGUACAAGUUGAGGAGGGAUUUCCCCAUUCAAGCUGUUAUUGGAAAGGUCCAUGCUCUCAACUUCACUCAAAUUUGAAAGAGUUUGUGGGAUUGAGCCUCUUAAAUGAUUGUUGGACAGGUUCAAUACACGAAUGUGGUGGAUAUUCCAAAUUUCAGGAGGAAUCGCACCUGACAAACUGUUGCAGGAGAGAUCCAAUCCGGUCAUGUAGUACAAAAUACUUGGCGGAUAAGAAUAAGACAGACUCUUUGUUGCAAUAACCAAUGGUUCUCGAAGAUUACUGAACCAAAAAACGCUUUUAAAUCUUAGGCAAGGUAGAAUAUGACCAGAAAAAGUUUUAUGAGAAAGAUCAAUGAACAUUAAUUUGUUCAACUUGCACAAUUGCGUGGGUAUACUGCCAUCAAGAUUAUUAUAACCCAAGAGAAGAAAGCUUAGUUGGGAAAACUCACCAAUCCAUUUUGGAAUGCUACCAGUCAAAUGAUUAUGGCUAAGAUCCAACGUUAUUAGCUCCAAGGAUUUCUGAAAUGCAUGUUCUAGGGAUCCUUGUAGCAUAUUUCGUGACAGAUAAACAUGCAAGAGGUGUGAAGAGUUAAAGAAAGAUGGUAAGGUUCUAGAGAUGUUGUUAUUUGAGAGGUCCAAAACUUGAAGAUACAACAGAAAGUCAAAUGAAGAGGGAACGCGACCACUGAAGUGGUUAUCAGACAUGUUUAAAAAUGUUAAACUUGGAAAAUAUGAUCCUAUGUCUCUAGGAAUGUGGCUUUCGAAGUUAUUGUUAGAAAUAUCUAAUUCAGACAAAUUCUGAUGAGGAUGAAUUGGCAAUUGAAAAGUCCCUGAAAGAGAAUUGUUGACCAAAUGGAGUUCAUUUAGGUUUGUGUUGUUCUCUAACAACCAAAUAGGAAACCCUCCCCUCAAUUUCAGGUUAGAAAAAUGAAUUUCUUGGAGGCUGUAUUGAUGGAGGAGGAAUUUGGGAAAGGAAAAUGCUCCACCAUAUCCAUUGCCAGAUAAACUAAGAGGCUCUACUUGGAACUUUAGGGCCAAAUUAUGCCCCUCAAAUUCUUCAACAUAUAUUUCGUUAUUGCUACCAUUGAAAUACUUGAGUUGUGAAUGGUUGAGAAAUGAGCUCAAUGAGACGGGAUCUGAAAGUGGUUGUCUGAAAGUGAUAACUCUCGGAUGGAUGUGAGACUUGUAAGAGGAGAGAAGGAAAUGUUCCAAUAAAGUUAUUGAAGACAAUAUAAUCCUUGAAGGGAUGUCAAAUUUGCCAAACACCAAGGGCAAAGCACCACUGAGAUCAUUCCCGCUGAUAUCUAGAUUUUGGAGAUGCUUUAACUGACAUAUGGCCUGAGAAUUUAUUGAUUCAAAAAUUUUAGUCAGAGAAGAAGCAGAACGCCUAAGGAGGGAAAGGUGGUCAGACUUACCUUGGGCUUUAGGGAUGGAGCCAUUGAGUCGACACCUCAAGCUUAAACUCUUUAGAGUAGUAAUCUUCCCGACUUUGCAGAAAGCUAUUAUCGACAGUGGAGGAAACUCAAAUCCAACUCUUCUAAAUUCUUGAGAGAAGCCAAGUCUACAAUAAUCAAACCCACAAGAAAUUAUGUUCGGUAUUCAAGAGCCGGAUAAUGAUAAGGAAACAAGAUUAUGAAACCAACAAGAAGCUCCAUUAUAAUGUCCCUGCUACAAUCAAUUAAAUUGCUAUAACUAGGAAAAUAUGAUUUAAAGCACGUUUACAAAGAAAAAAAGAACAAUUAACAGAUAUUUAGGAUCGCUUUUAGGCAUCAGUACCACAAAUUACCUUUAUCUAAUGUUGUUCCGAAACUUCCUUCAAGAUUAUUCUCAGCCAAAGAAAGGGUCCUGAGGUUUGGGAAUUUCGUCAACGAUUGCAGCAAUGUAAAUGGAAGAGCUCUUCCAUUUGAGGUGCUAUUAGAUAAUGAAAUGCGGCUUACAUUUUCAAAACCUCUAGUAUCUAUAGGGGACAGCAGAAGUAAAACAAGUUUUAAAACCUUCUGAGCUUUUAUUCCAGAGCAAAAUCAUCCUCGAAAAUACAAUUCAAUUAAUGAGAUUUUAGGUUGAUCAAGAGGUAAAGCUACCAUCAAUCCGUGUGGAAAGCAAUCAAUACCUUUGGAAAACACAAAUUUGUCAAUCUCGUUUCCCGCUAGAUCCAGGCUCUCUAAGUUGAUCAAAGCAUCCAGUUCUAGGUUGUCGGAAAACAGAAAUUUAAUAUUACGUCACAACAAAAAUCACAUAUUGGUUUCUAGGAAUCGAAAAAGGUGAGGUUACCAGUCACAUUGAAUGAUCCUUUCAGUUGGUUGUACGCUAUAUCCAGGUAUUUAAGAGAUGAAAGACCCUUGAGGGAUGAUAAGGUACUAUCAUUGAAGCGAUUACCAUUCAAACCAAGUUCUUCCAGAUUUCUUAACCUCGGUAAGUCGUCACCAGUACCUAUAAAAAUACCAUAAGCUUUCAUGUAACCUGAAAGGAUAAUGGAGUACUUAUGUGUGAAAACAAAUGCUCAGUCAACUCACAACUCUUUCAUACCAUGAAUGGAUUUAAAGCUUUCAAUUUCAUUGCCACCAAACUCCAACCACCACAAGCUUGUUAGAUUAUUCAGUUCUGGCCAAAUAUAAUUGUACCAAGUACAACAAUUAAAAAAAGGGCAGUAAUUAACAUGGCUUUAUUUGAGAAAGAAAAGGAGAGAAGUGAUCAAGCUUAAUUACCAUCAACACUAAUUGCUCCUUUGAGUUGGUUACCAUAUAGAUACAGGGUUCUCAAAGAGGAAAGCCGACCAAGGGAUGAAAGGAUGCUGUUGUCGAAUUUGUUUUCGGCUAAAUCGAGAACCUCCAAGCUGUCAAGUCCUGAUAGUCUUUCAAAACUUGCAUGGGCAUUUCAAUCAGUAGCUUGAAAAAUAUAGAAUCUAUUCUUUUCUUUUUUUCCUGUUGAAAUUGCAUUAGCACGCAAACAAGAGAUAAACCUUCAUUCUCAACACAGCCAACUAUAAAAUUUCCACUUAAAUCAAGAGAUUGCAGUUCUUGGAAGGGACGAAACAAAGAGACAUUUAGGUACAAAUCUCCCAAUCCCUCUUCCCUUAUGCGUGAAAGAUCAAGUACGACAACUCGUCCUGUAGUGAAAUUGCAGUGAACGCGUUCCCAAGUACAACAGUCGGCUCCUUUUCCCCAAGAUUGAAGGAAGAUUGAGUAAUUAAAGGAGCUUUUAAUCCGCAAGAGAGCACUUCUCUCUUCGUCUAAACAGCCGUGACAUGACCACCAGCUUUCUGACAAAACCAUAGCAUAAAUCAUCAGUGUCCCUGCUAAAGAAGAGAACCUGUUUAAACCCAUAUGCACUUCUCUCUUAUGUACCGAUAUUUUUUAUUGUCAUUCCAAGGCAAAGUGAAAAGUAAAAGGAACGUAAUAGAGGGGGGCAAUAUGCAUGAUGACGGAAUUUCCUGGCACUAUGGAUGAUGAUCUUUCUGCUGUGUUCUCUCUUCCUCCAAACACAAAUGGCACCACCACCCUGGUAAUAAAACCAUGAAGAUCAGCUUUAUCACUACUACAGAGAACCUGCUUAACCCAUUUGAAAUACUUGAUGAAUUAAAUUGUAUUCCACUGGCUUUGUACAAGCUGCUCUUUAUACUAUAAGACGAAUCAACACACUCGAUCUUAUGAUUGUUGUUGCUGUAGUAGCAGAUCGAUUUAAUUUACUGUUGUCUUUUACAAUGAAAACGUUGAGAAAGUGUUCGUUCAUGAAUUGUAAUAAACAGCCCACUUGUAUGGCACUGGAAUUCAAUUCCACGCUAUCGAUCCUGUGGUUUGGAUGGAAUUGGUCGUCGUCAUCACAUGAUUUUCCAUAUGUAAUAAAGUCUCCUUUAUUUGGCUUAUUGUCCCAUUGAUUCUUCGAGGAAAUUCCCAAGUUUUUGCUUUACAUCAAUAUUAAUUCAAUGGCUGGUAACACACAUGACUCUCGUCUCUCUGUUUCGUUCCUUUUACUUUUCACCAUGGUUUUUGAACCCUAUCCAAGGUUGAUCUGGAGCAAAUCCUGGAUUGUGGGUUAGGUGAAACUUGAGAAGGUUAUUUAUCAAGAAAUUCUCAAAUCCUACCAAUGUCUAUUCUAACUUAGCAACAUCGUCUUUUUAUUUGUUAAUAAUAUAUUUAAAUACAAAACAAGAUUCAAAUUAAUUUAAAUAAUAUAGUUAAAUGAAAACAAGAUUUCAAUUAAUUUCACUCUUUCUUUCAUUUUUAUUUUCAAAACCUUCACCAUUCUAAUCCUUCUCAGCUAUCAUGUCUCCCUUCUUUGAUAUUGUUAUCAAAUAGCAAAAGUGCAAAUAAUCAUGCUCUUGGAGAUAUCAAAAUUAUCCUACAAAUCAACAAUUCCAUUCAUAUAGGAUUUUAAAUUUUCUUGUUUCAAGAUUUGUUAGAUUAGUGUUAGAUUUGUUAUUGGACGGUAUGAAACAUUAGUUUAGUCAAACUUGAACCGAUUCAUAAUAAAAUUUUUAAAAAGCAUUCACUGUGGCUAUUAAAAACAUGUUUGUUUUUGUAUUUUUUUUUUUUAAAAAAACAGAGAGACCAAUUUGCCAACAAGCUAUAAUAAUAGAACCCACAGGUUGAUUGAUGAAACCCUGACCCCAAGAUCUGGGGACAGCUGAAGAACACCUUGAAAAAUCUUGCAUUUUACUCAUACUUUUUACAAGAGACAAAUGAACUGGUCAUCACGCGCGACAUGUUCCCUACGGCUGAAAAUUGGAUUUCAAUAAAUAUCUUCCCUUAUAUAGUAAUAACAACAACUAAAACAUAUAUAACAUUCACUAUUUUAAAAAAUAGUUAUUAUGGAUUGCGUUGUUUAUUUUGAAUAAUGAUUCUUUUCCAGAGCAUUCACACAAAAUAAAUUCCAGAGCUACUCUGUUACAAUUGACAUUUCCUCGAAUUAUAACACGGGGUAAAUGAAAACUUUUCCAUUUUCUGCCUUGUUCAACAGAUACUCCUACAAAUAAACUACACUAAGUUGCAUGCCUUGGGUUUGUCUUAGGUAUAUCCAAACUACAUUUAUUUAUACCAAAGGCUUCCAAACUCUGAUUCUGAAUGGCUUAAGAAGAUUGUCCGCAACAAAGUAGUAGCAAGUGUUGAUGCUCUUCUCAAUGAAAUAAAACCAUGCUCGCCGCCAGUCUGGGUCUACGUACAAAACUGCAGCUAUUCCCAAUAGCACCAUGAUGUACGUCAAAACAAAGCUCACACAGAAAACUUGUGCAUCAAUGAUGACGCUACUCUCUUCUUUCUCAUCAGUAGAAGGCCCAGGUGGUGGUACUUCUUUGGUGCAGCUGUUAAGCAGUGGUGGUCCACAAAGUAAGGGAUUUCCCUCGUAGCUGCUCUUAUCGAAUGUUGAGAAUGCUGCAACCAUCUCAGGAGUCUUACCAAAGAGGUUAUUGUUGGCUACAGUAAAAUAGACAAGAUAAUGCAAUUGUACAAGUUGAGGAGGGAUUUCCCCAUUCAAACUGUUAUUGGAAAGGUCCAUGCUCUCAACAUCACUCAAAUUUGAAAGAGUUUGUGGGAUUGAGCCUCUUAAAUGAUUGUUGGACAGGUUCAAUACAAGAAUGUGGUUGAGAUUCCCAAUUUCAGGAGGAAUCGCACCUGACAAACUGUUGCAGGAGAGAUCCAAUCCGGUCAUGUAGUACAAAAUACUUGGUGGAUAAGAAUAAGACAGACUCUUUGUUGCAAUAACCAAUGGUUCUCGAAGAUCAAUCUCAUAAAGAUUUUCUCCACGGCGGAUGAACCGAAUAAUGCUUAUAAAUCUUAGGCAAGGUAGAAUAUGACCAGAAAAAUCAUUAUGAGAAAGAUCAACGAACAUUAAUUUGUUCAACUUGCACAAUUGCAAGGGUAUACUGCUAUCAAGAUUAUUAUAACCCAAGAGAAGAAAGCUCAAUUGGGAAAACUCACCAAUCCAUUUUGGAAUGCUACCAGUCAAAUGAUUAUGGCUAAGAUCCAACGUUAUUAGCUCAAAGGAUUUCUGAAAUGCAUGUUCUAGGGAUCCUUGUAGCAUAUUUCGUGAUAGAUAAACAUGCAGGAGGUUUGAAGAGUUAAAGAAAUAUGGUAAGGUUCCAGAGAUGUUGUUAUUUGAGAGGUCCAAAACUUGAAGAUUCAACAGAAAGUCAAAUGAAGAGGGAACGCGACCACUGAAGUGGUUAUCAGACAUGGAUAAAAAUGUUAAACUUGGAAAAAAUGAUCCUAUUUCUCUAGGAAUGUGGCUUUCGAAGUUAUUGUUAGAAAUAUCUAAUUCAGACAAAUUCUGAUGAGGAUGAAUUGGCAAUUGAAAAGUCCCUGAAAGAGAAUUGUUGACCAAAUGGAGUUCAUUUAGGUUUGUGUUGUUCUCUAACAACCAAAAAGGAAACCCUCCCCUCAAUUUCAGGUUAGAAAAAUGAAUUUCUUGGAGGUUGUAU
Molecule: long non-coding RNA, 72769 nt
Filed under: Populus tremula
Lineage: Eukaryota; Viridiplantae; Streptophyta; Magnoliopsida; Malpighiales; Salicaceae
Description: long non-coding RNA (PTRE_LNC002593)
Source: RNAcentral